Molecule: long non-coding RNA, 69807 nt
Filed under: Malus domestica (apple)
Lineage: Eukaryota; Viridiplantae; Streptophyta; Magnoliopsida; Rosales; Rosaceae
Source: RNAcentral
AGCAACCUGGAUUUUUGUUGAAGAGUGGUUAUCAUAGUAGUGGAGACCCAUCAACCAAUACUGAUGGAGCUUGCUCUGUAAAUGACAUGACCUAUACAGAAGCAGAAGGUCGCUAAGGGGAGAACCAGACGUAUAAUCAGACCGACUUAUAUUAUUCAAUUGAGAAUCACAUGAUGAGUGAGAUAAGAAGAGAGGAUAUACCCCGAUUUCACUCAAUAAUUUUCCUUAUAACUAGGGAUCUAAGUUCUAUAUUAAUAUGCAACACUCAUCAUCUGUCUUAUUGUAAAUACACGUUAUAAAAUAUAUGCCCUAUAAUUGGGGAUCUAAGUUCUAUAGCUGUUAUACUCAUCAUCUGUCUUGUUGUAAAUACAAGCUAUAAAUUAUUUGCAACAUUCAGCAUCAGUCCAACCAAGCUUGUGAAAUCCCGUUCCUGGAUUUCACUGUUAUAAUCUACAUGUUUGUAGUAUUGAGAUUUUAUAUUAUUUUUCAAGAAUUUAUAUUAAUUUAUUUGAAUUUAGAUUUCAAUUAAACUAGUUACGAAGAGUGAAGUUUGGAAAGUUAUUAUAUACUUGUUGACCUUUUGAGGUCAUAAGUAACGUUUUCGAAUAAAGCUUGAUCCCACGAAUGCAUAGGCGAAAGGCGUUUGCAAGUCUGGAUUAUAACGGUAUAGUUAAAGACGUUUGAAGUUGUGAUACUAUAAAUUUUAGGAAUUGAUUAUCUCCCACUUUGUGGGUAAGGGCCCAGAUAGAUAUGGGGUUAAGUGGACCAUCAGAAUUGAAAAAAAAAGGGGGGGGGGGGAAGCAACCAAUCAGGAAAGAGGAGGAAAGAAAUGAGAAAGAAAAAGGAAAAAGGAAGGAGGGGAAAAUGCCCCUUUCCCGUCGACCCACCCAACUAGGUUUGACCCGGUUCUAAUUCCGGCGGUUUCCGCUAUUUUUUCCGUCGAACCACCACCAACCAACAACUGCAACCUCUUCUACAACAUCUCAUCUACCAUUCCCACCCAAAAUCAUAGGAAAUUUAGUUGUAGUUUGGUGAAAAACACACCAUGGGUACCGUGGGAAACCUCGUCAUGAUUCAUCAUUUGUGAAACGAUUUCAUUCAAUUACCACCACCAUUAGACUCUCCUUGAACCCAGGAAUAAAGCCCAAACAACCUUGGAGACGUCGGAGCAAGUAUGGAGUUCGUAUUGAAGCACACCUAAUUCUAGGGUUCUGGAUGUUCGUGGGUGAUUUCAGGAGUUUCCAGGCCAAAUUGGCCUUAGCCAUAGGUAUAAAAAUUACUCCCCUCAUUGAGAUCUACAUGCCUGUAAAAUUUGGUAAUUUUUGGAAUUAGUUGAAUUUUCCGACAAGUCGGGGCGGCCGACUGCCAUGUGCGGCGGCGCAUAGGCCGAAGUAACCCCUGACCUUCCUAGGAUAAAUUUGAUACCCCAAUUCCAUAUGUGAAGUCUGAUUGACGAAAUCUCGUCAUAUGGUUAUAGAUUUGAUGGAGACCGCCACUUAGACAUUAUAUGAAUCGAUGAUUAGAUUGUUGGAUCGUCACCAAAAUUUAAUAUGUUAUAGUAUGUAAUAUUUGAGGAUAACAGGAACUUACGGAUUGGGAAUAGAUGUACGGAUCUUCCCGAAUUGGAUUUACAAGUUUGUAAAAUAAAACGUCGACAACCAUUUAAAUUCGUGAUUGGCGGAGAUCCGACCGUUUGAUCAUAAUGAAAUUUUAGUAUGUUAUUCUAGAAGCAUAAUGUGGACUUUGGGAAGUUAUGGAUCAGAAAUCUAAUGUGCGGAUCUUUAGGAUCGAAUUACGUAGAGUUGUGGACCCUAUCGUUGACAGAGAGUUGAUUUGUGGUCAACAUGUCUCGAAACGUUCUAAAUAAUAAAAUUAGUACUACGAGACUAAUUGAAGUCUAGUGGGCCUAUAUUGGUUAGAUAGUGACUUGAAUAUAUGAGAUAUGAUUAUUAUCUUGAUUUCUUAUGUUGGUAUCAUUUGUGAAUAUGAUUUGGUCUUAUAAAUAUGAUUUCUAUUGAAAUGUGAUUUUUAUAUAUUUAGCCAUAGGCCUAUGCUUAUUACAUAUGAUUUGGCUUGUGUACUGAUGAUGUUUGUGAUAUAUAUGUGUUUAAUUAUCUUUUUAAUAAUAUGAAUGAUAAUUAUGAUGAAUGUUAUGACAAGUAUGGGAUCUAAUUAUUGCUUGAUAAUUAUUUGGAUAUGAUUGCCAACUGAAUACCUAUUUGAACUUGGCAUUACUACCUAGUAUGUGAUAGGGAUGAAAGUCUGGAGAUGAGUUAGGUACUUUAUUAGAUUUUUUUAGUAGAAAUAGUAAUUAGGGGAAUUCCUUAUGAUGUGCUCCAUAUGACUAGAUGCUGGUUGAUAUGUGGAAUCGAUAGCGUGUAUACGUAUAAUUGGGUAUAAUGUAUGAGGCUAGAUAAGCCUUUUGUGUAGAGUAGGAAAAGAUAUGGUGAAAUGGGGUCGCCCUGUUGAAUCCCACGAGAGGGGAGGAGGUAGCCACAAAGACGACUGUUGAUGACAAAAGAGUACGAUACUGAGCAUACGAAUUCCAUCACCAGAUUGGUCUAAUUCAAUGAGAACCCCAUACGAACUAAAAUACUCUUGAGAUAAUCCCACUCAAUUCUGUCAUAUGCUUUGUUAAUGUCCAAUUUUAAGGAUAAAAACUCUUUUUUUCCUCGAUGGCGCUUCAUGAGGGAAUGGGAGAUUUCUGAAGCCAGAAUCAAAUUGUCUGAUAUCAUUCUUCCCGGAACAAAUGCGUUCUGAGCAGGAGAUAUGAUGUGGUUUAGAAUUCCUUUCAACCUAUUUGCCAUAACUUGGAAGCAAUCUUAAACAGGACGUUACAAAAGCUUAUGGGCCUGUAUUGAGAGAUAUCAUUAGGGUCAUUUACUUUGGGGAUGAGGCAAACAUGGGUGAAUUUUUUUUUUUAGUAACCUGUCCGAUUGGAAAAUGCAUUGGAUGGCGUUCGUCACAUUCGCUCCAACAAUGGCCUAAUAUCGUUAGAAGAAAAAAGGGGACAUUCCAUCGAGCCCCAGCACUGUUGAAGGUUGCAUAUUAAAGAUAGCAUCCCGAACCUCUUCAGCAGAUACAUGCAAAUCCAAUCUGAGAUUCAUCUCCGAAGUCACCCGACGAUCGAUGGUUUGGAGCACCUCCUCACCACCCCCCGUCGGACCAGCUUUAAAUAAGUCUUCAAAAUAGUUUAAGAUCGAGGACUCGAUACCCUUUUCAUCAGAAAUCCAAUUGCCAUUGCUACCAUAUAACCCUUUGAUAAGAUUUUUGGACUUGCGGUUUUUAGCCCGUUUGUGAAAGAAGCGAGUGUUCCUAUCGCCUUGGCUGAGCCAUAGAGAUCGAGAUUGUUGGUGCCAGUAAGUUUCUUCUUGACCCAAUAAGACAUCGAGACACUCCAUUGGAAGCUUCCUUUCAGCUAAGGCCGCCUCUGACAGUGGUUAAGCAAGAAUAAAACCAAGUUUCAAACGUAUUUCGUUUAUAUCCUCAAUACGUCCUUUGAAGACCAUAUGUUGCCACUUAAGAAGGGCAAUCCUGGUGGCCUUAAUUUUGUGGACCACUUGGAUGUGUACCCUGGUUACAGGACGACUUAAUGCCUCCUCUAUAACAUUCUCGCAGUUUUCGUGGGAGGCCCAAAACUUCUUGAAUUAGAAUCCAUGUCGACAUUUCCUCCUGGGAACAAGUUUCCCGUCUAUGAAGAGAAUAAUAGGAACAUGAUCAAGUUUUGUGGGAUCCAUAUGGUGAACUUUGGCAUUACAGAAUAAGAAUCUCCAUAGAGGGAAUGCCAAGACCACCCGGUCCAAACGUUCUUUUAUGCCUCCCGACUGCGUGGUGAUCCAGGUGAAUUAGUUUCCAGAGAAACCAAGGUCCAGGAGAUUGCAAUUAGACACCGCCAACCUGAAGUCGAGAAUCUGCUUGAUAGGCCUAGAUGGGCCGCCCUCAUUCUUGUUAGCGCUGAGAAGCUCAUUGAAGUCCCAUCUCAUAAUUCAGGGAGGGAACUAGCUGAUGCUAAAGAGCGAAGGAGGUUCCAGGUGGUUGCCUUUUCGGUUGUAAUCGGGUUGCCAUAAAAGCUAGUAAAUCUCCAGUGUAGAGGGUCGGUGUUGCAUCCAAUCUCUCAAUUGAUGUGAUUAUCAGAAGCAGAGAGAAUCCUUAAGUCAAUGCUGGAGUGCCAUAGCAAAUAGAGGCCUCACGCACUUCCUCGAGACUUGACACAAAAUGACCUGUCAAAACUUAACUUGAAUUUCAGAGACAAAAUACUAUGACGCGAAGAUUUGGUUUCACACAAGAAAACUAGGAUGGGAUCUUGCUACUUGAUGAUGUCUUGCAGUGCCUGAACUUUCCAGGGGUUCCUAAGCCCCCAGCAGUUCCAGAAUAAGAAUUUCAUGGUUUAUGAUGCGGUUGCACCCUGUUAACCGUCGCCAAUGAUGUCGAAGGUAGGUGAAUGUUCCUGCCCAGCUAGCCCCUAUUCUCAGCCUAUUCCAGCUCUUUAGAAGGGCUAAUAGCGAUGUCGCAAAGAUGAUCAGAAUCUAAAACCUCAUCGUCAUGUGCUGACCUGAGACAGGGGGAUUCAGCAUCCAUACGACUACCAGACCUGGAUUUGGAGCUACGAAGGUUCAGAUUUAAGAGAUAGAGGGGACGACCCUUUUUUAAGUUGAGGGAAAGUCGAGGUUUUUUGGUCAAGGGAGAGACCAAAAUUGACUUCACGCUUUUACCGUUGGAUUGCUCAGCCAGAUGAGAUGUAUGCUUGAGCUCAAGAUUGCUGAUGUGUAAUAAGUUGGUGCCAGGUGGAAAACAACCUUGGGCUAAGAACUUAGAGGGGCUGGUUUGAACAUGAUCUGAGGCUCGUAAAAACUCAUCCACAUCUUUUAAGGCCCAUAGAGGAAGCUUGUUGGGGUCACACUAGUUUUUUUUCCAAGGAAAGCCCAUUAACAGCUAUGGACAUGGUGUCGUUAGAGAAAGGGUUCUGUGAUUAAAAUGUGGCUGCCGAUCAGUACUGAUGAUAAGAGGGGACACGUACUUCUUUCUGAUGCAACAAUUGGAUCGUAGGGGGACAACGAGUUAGCAGUCGCAGUGAUGGCAGGUCUGACGGUCAGAGAAUUAUCGGUGUACUCUGCCAGUCUGGAUUGAUCAAGUUUGGCCUGUCUAGCCAGGAAUACGGUAGUCGGAAUGUCUGAAUCUUCGUCCAGCAGGUCGUAGAAACCAUAAUCGUCGAUUUCCCAUUUGCAUCUCCAAUGGUGCUUAUUAGCCCCAUCUCUGCUAAACAGCCUCGAAAUUGGGAAUAGUAGAAAACUCGCCCUAAACAGACUUUCGAUGCAAAAUGAUUGGUUGAAUCGGCUUUCACCAGACGGCAGAAUGGGAGUCGGACGAGGGCAGCCGCUUGAAUGACCUAGGCGACCAUACUUAUAGUAGAAAAUUCUGAAACCUUCAUAGCGUAGCCGAAUAGUAUAUGAACACAGCUUUGGGCAUGACACCGAGAAGCUGGUGAGCAAUGGUUUCGAGGUAUCAAAAUCGACUCGCAUGCGGAGAAAGCCUCUAAACCCCAUUUCCAGAGGAUCCUCAACCUCUAGAAUUUCCCCCAUCUUAAAACCCAGGCAUCUCACAUUCUUCAAGGUGCAUUAGUUCCUAGGGAUACCGUGCUCCUAGAUCCCAAUAAAUGGCCCUGUUAGGGAUUAUAUCAUCGAGAAAGUGAAAUGACGGCCAUAGUUUCACUGAGAAGGUAUAGUCCCUGAUGAACCAGGGAUUUCCUUCCAAAAGCCUCAUGGCGACAGCUUCUUCCCCAACUGUGAUAACAUACAAGUUUGCUUUUGCACAAAGAACGCGAAUAACCGCCAUCUUGUUCCAAGUAGAGCGAAUAACCUCCUUCACCACAGUCUGGGAAAAUUCAUGGUCAACGAUGAGUGCACAACGAUGAGUCUGCGAAUAACAUACAAGUGCCUUCGCCCAUGAGCGGUAGGUCUCGGGUUCGAGACUUGGGAGCAGCCUCUCCAUAAAUGGGGGUAAGGCUAGCCGACAUUCACCUCUCCCAGACCCUGCGUAAAGCAUUCUUACUAAAAUCACACUCAGUUAUUUUAAAUACUUCUAAACAAGCCCUAAAACACACCAAAAAAUAAAAACAAAACUGCAUAAUAAGAUGAGCAUUUCGGUUAACACGUACACCAAACAAUUGUAUUCAAAUGGCGGCACAUUUCCAGUACUAACAUAAUUUAGUCUAUCCACUUUGGUAACGUAAAGAAGAGGUAAACCAUGAAUUUAAACUUGGAGGCAGAUUGUCUGCCCUUUCUUUCCCAUGCCCUUCUCAUCCCUUUCUAUUUGUGCGGUCAUGGUUAAGCCACGUCAACAUUUUAUAUUCAUAUUGCUUUUUGUUUUAUUAUCUCUAUUAAAAAAUUAAUAUAAAAUAUUGACGUGGCUUAACCGUGAUCCUACAAAUAGAAGAAGAUGAGAAGGAUAUGGGAAAAAAAUGGCAGACAAUCUGCUCUUUUAAACUUUGGUACUUUGGCAGAAGAAAGCAAAAGAGUUAAAUAAAUUAUUGAACCAUGAAGGAGGUUGAGAUUUGUUUUUAUCUACACGAGCAAUUGAAAAGUCAAAAAGCAUGAGCUAACAAAAAUGGGUCGUCAUCACCAAGUUAGUUGGGUGACUUUUUCUUAUUAAUUUUGGAAGAUGGUACUAAAUUCAUAUUUUCUAUCUUGUUGAUCAAAAGGAAAAACUUAUAUGCCUCGGUUGAAAGUACAUUUAAAAUUGUUGAAAACAUUUUUAGUAAAAAUAUUUUUAAAAUCAAUUUUUUGUAAGAAAAAUUUCAAAUAAUUUUAGGCCCAAAAGUAUUUUUUUUACAAGUGUUUUCUAUUAUUUCAAAAAUACUUCCAAACGAGCUCAUAGUUAAUUAUAAACAUAAAUAGUUUUUUAAAAUAAUGUAUGAUCAUUAUCAUCUAUUCAUACAAAACACACAGAGUAAGGUAGCCAACCAAGAUAUACACAGUUGAAUGAUCCAUUUCUUGUGGGAAAGAAUCAUUUUCACACCAUUCUUAGUUCCAUGGUUCGAUUUCAGUCGUUACUCUUUGAUGGAUAUUUACAUAUACAAUCAAACUAUUUAGACACAAAAUUAAUUUACUUGAUAAGAUACUCUCUUAAAUAAGACAUGUAAUGUGUCCAAUUCUUGAUCAAAAUUAGGCUUUUAAUAUUCAAAGGCCGAGUGGCGUCACAAGAUUUAAUUAUGCAUGCAUGUCAUUUUCCUCAUGAAUUUUUCUUUUAACAAGAAAUGAUAGUAAUUUUCUAUUAACGAACGAUAGCAAAUAUUUAGGUUGUCGCAUGGAUACAAUUUCUAGUCACAAGACUCACAAAUAUAUGAUUUGGAGGUAGUUCACACAAACGAGCAAUAAUGCUAAUCCUUUAUUGGAUACCACAAGCGUGUGAACUAGCACAAGCACAAUCAGUACAAAUCUGCCACAAAGACGGCAGGUGCAACAUACUUAAUUAUACCAGUGCACCCAUAAUGUCACUGUCAUAUAAACGAGACCACAUUAAAUUAUCACUAACAAACUAGGCCACAUCAAAACCACCGCUACCAAAGUUUAUAAUCUUAUCAAUUAAAUGUCUUUAUUAAAUCUUUUGACAACAGAAAAGAAAGCGUCAUAAUUAAGAAAUUGAUUUAAUAACAGUGAGAUAUUAACGAGGCAGACCUUGCGUAGUUGCAUUAUAAAUAUGGAAGAAAACAUUCGACGGUAAUCCUAUCGACUAAAAAAAUUAAGCACGGAAUAUCUCAACAAAAAAUAAAAAAAAUAAAAAAAAGCACGGACUGCGUUUUAUUCAACCUAGAAAAUAAUAAACUGUGUUCUUUUGUCAACCGUGAAGUCGUAACCAAGUUAUUAAUCACGCUUGGAUCAGAGGGUUCACAUUUCAUGAUGCUUGUGUUGAUAUCGUUUGUGUUUCCUAAACAAAUUUGGACGGAGAACUUAAGGUCCGUCGAAACACGUUUACUUGGAAUGAUUUGAUCAAAGUUUAGCAGAGCGAGAAAUUUUUUAACUACGUGAUCAGUUAGUCUUACGAUGUUUUAUCUCUAAUAAGUAUAAAAUUUCUUAAAUUGACUUGGACGUUAUAGAAAGAUGAAAGUGAUAUAUUUAUACACUCAUAACUCAAUUUUACUUUACACAGAACUUUGUUAAUUGUUUGUUAUUGAUCUUCUUCGAUUCAUUUGAUUCGAAACUGAAAAUUAAAAGAGGUGUACAAAAAAUAAAAAUAAGUGCAUGAAUAGCACUAUCUUACUUAUAUUACUAGGUCGAGGAUCAUUGUGUCCCAAACUUGAUUAGAGGACUUGUCAAACUUAGCCUUAGUUUAGUACUAAGGUGAUUCUGAAAAAAAGUGGCUAUUAAAAAAAACUGGGAGUUUUUUUAUGUUUGGUAAACAUUCAGCUUUAGUUUUUUUUCACAGUUUUUGGUGAAAAAAACCCAAAAACACAAAGCUGCAAAACCCAGCUUUGAAAAACCAGUUUUUUUUUUACAUCUGUUUUACAUAAAAGUUUAUCAAACACUAUAAUAUUGUUUUUUUUUCAAAAGCACAUUUACAAAAAAGUUUAUCAAACACUCUGCUGCUUUAUUUCACAGCUGCUUAUUCUCAUAGCACAGCAGAAACAAUUUUUUUUUUAAAGUACAACAAUAUCAAACCAGCCCUAAUGUGAGAUUAGUGCUUUUGAAAUAUUUAGUGUAAUCAAAACACAAAGUGGUACUUUACAUGUCAUUAUCUAAUUAAAGAUUUUUUUUUAAUUAUCUCCUUAAUUGAAUAAUAAUAUAUGAUAUUUCACUCAUGUGCCACAUAUCUUGAAAAAUCUGUCGGGCCUUAUUGUAUGAAAGGGGGGGCGUGUAUAAUUGGUCACGUGACAAUAGGGGAAGAAACACGUGUAUUCUGAGUCGGCAAAUGUUUAUAGCUGGCAAUGUUGACUCUAAUAGGGGCAUUUAAGUAAAUUCCAUAGCAGAAGUAUAGUCGCGAAUCGCGAUUGAUUCCAUGCUUCAACUGUAGGGUAACUGUUGAGGUUAGAAACCAAAGGAAAAAAACAAAGUUACGAAAACACCCCCCCUGAAGUUUUAGCCAAAGACGGGACCUUUUUGUGUCGUUAAGUUGAAAAGCAGAUAAAUGAUGACUUUCUCCAAUAAAUACAGAGAUGCUAACUGGAUAGAUAAUUUCAGUGACCAAGCAAUUAACUUGGAUAGAGUUUGCACAAAAACACAAGAAGAGUAAAAUCCUUAAAGCAAAUAUGUCACAAAGUAUUAUAUACGCAACAAAUCCGAAUCGAUGUUUAGGGCAUCUAUACUCUAAUGAGAAAAUAAAAAUUUGUGAUAGAAAAAUCUUAUUUAUGUUUCUGAUAGAUGUAAAUGAAGCUAUACUCCAAUGAGAAUAAUGGAAAUUUGAGAUCCCAUUUAAUUUUGUCUCUUUGAUUAGCGGGACUCAUCACCAAAAUAUGUAAAAAAAGAAAUAAAUUUAAGUUUAUAUUUACAUUUUUCGACGAAGAUGAUAAUUUAUAUUUCACCAUUGGAUAAUUUUCCAGCAAAGAAAAAAAUUAUAAAAUGUCCAUUUCAAAGUACUUUUGAGAGAUGCCCUUGAGAAGAAAACUUACUUACCGUUAUAAUUGUUUAGUAAUCUGAAAUAAUUGUAUACCGUUAUGCAUUUUAGAAUCCAAUUAUGUAAAUAAUCAUUCAAUAUUAUGUGCUAAAAUCUAGUUAUGUAAAGAUAUGUGAUUAACUCGAGAUACAAUAGUUAUAACAUUCCAAAUUGCGAAUAAUCUGGUAGUUCUCGAAACAAAGAAAGAAAAAAGAAAAUAAAAACUAACGAAAAGUUCUCAAAAACUUUAGUUUUUAAUCAAAAGGACAAUAUAAAUUGUAAGUGAAUAGUACCAGAAGUGACUUUUCAAGGUAAAAAAUGUCAUUCACGUUAAAAGUGAACAGUACUAGGAGUGUUUGAUUAAGAUUCCAAAAAAAAAAACACUUUUGAAAACAAAAUGUGAGAAGGGUGUAAUAGUAAUUUCAUCAGGUGUAUUACAAUUGUUAUUUUUCUUUUUUGGCAUGAAAAUGCGUAUUAAUGUGUUGUGAGUGUAGGAUUUGGUGGUGAAAGUCUCUCUCUCUCUCUCUCUCUCUCUCUCUCUCUCUCUUCGCUCGAAGUCUUGAAGUCUUGAAUUCUCAAAGACACUCCACCAGUUGAGCACCCAAAAACCUCGUAAACCCUUUUUCUUCCAUUUCAUUUCUUUACCGAGUGACGCGAGCGAGUUAAGAAAUGGCGACUCAGUUACCGGACGAUUUCAAGUGCCCAAUUUCCCUCGAAAUAAUGUCCGACCCGGUUAUACUCUCCUUACGUCACACCUUAGAUAGGCACUCCAUCUAAUCUAAGUGUUGGACAAAAGAAUUUUUCCUGCACGAAAGUAUAUGCUCUUUUGUUUUAUUAGAAAUUGAAUUAGUUAAUUACUUGAAAUAUAGUUUUUUUAUUUUAUUUUAUAAUAUUUUCCGAGUUUCUGGAGGCAUCGACAAAGUCAAAUAUCCCUAACGGGGAUGUGGAUACCUCAUCGUUUGGCCAUAACCCAUAAGCACCUGACUUUUCCUGCAAUUAUGUUUAAGCACAUUGCACUCUAUCUUUAAAAUAAUAACAAUAAUAAUACAUCACUGUAUAUUUUUAAGUUAAGGGUGGAGCUAUCCACCUACCUUUUUUUUAUCUUUGACGUAUAUUUCUUAAUUUUUAAUCGUCGGAUUAUAUGAAUUAAAAAUGAUGAAAAUACAUAAGGUAAUAAAAGAUGUGUAAAAAGUAAAAAUAAAAAAUGUGUGGAUAGCAAAUUAACAACAUCCUAAAUUAAUAUCAACCUUACUUAGUUAUUACACCCAAUAAUCAAGUAUAGGAUGGAUUUGUGCUAGAAUUCUUGAUAUUGUCAAGGUCAAGCCAUGUAUUUGGAUCAAUAUGUUUUCAAUCUAGAAAAAAAUUAUGUUGAAAAUGAAAAUUUUGAGUGAAAUAUAUUGAUUUUUCCUAUAGUAUAAAUACGUGUUAAGUACGAUGACCUAUGAAUGACAUAUGACUUACAUUAUGAGGAUUGUAUUUCCACAUGAGUGUGUUAGGUAUCUAUUUAUAUAUACAUAUAUUUAAUAUUUCUAAUAAUACAAAUCAAAAAAAUUAUAUAUAUACAUAUAUUAAAUAAAAACAUAACUGCUCCAACAUGUAUGCCUGGAAGUUGCGGGUAAGUUCACGUUGCAUCGACUGGAAAUCGAGGGCGCGUUUGCCGUUGCAUCGACAACUGGAAGUCAAGCGUAUGCCCUUAAAUUAGCGUUACUGAAACUCAAUCAAAGAAAAAGAAAAUCCAACCUUUCCGGCUUUUUGUUUCUGCAUGUCGAAAGAAGCAGCCAUUUUAGCACUUAAACUCCUCCAUGAGAAAGCUAACAAUGAAUUCUACUAAAUUCUUUUUUGUCAGUACUGUAUUGUUCCUCUUCCUUGUGAUUCUUCCCUCUUCCAUUUCGGUUACCCUAGACGCCAUUACACCAAACCAACCCCUAAGAGAGGGCGACGUUCUUCUCUCCACCACUGAAUUCUUUGCACUAGGGUUUUUUAAGCCAGGCAAUUCUCAUAACCGUUACAUCGGAGUUUGGUACAACAAAAUUCCAAUCAAAACCAUUGUCUGGAUUGCAAACAGAGAAAACCCCAUAGUUCCUACUGCUGGAACUGGACUUCUAGCCAUUCAUGCAGAUCAUGGUGGCCUUGUUAUGUAUGGGGAGGACCAAAAUACCCCUUUCUGGUCCACUAAUCUCACCGUCUCUUCUCCAAACAAUUCCGUGAUAGCCAAGCUUUGGGAUACGGGAAAUCUUGUUGUAGUUGAAAUUAAUGGCGGUAGUAGUGAAAAGGUGUUGUGGCAAGGUUUUGAUUAUCCCACAAAUACGAUGCUUCCUUUUAUGAAACUUGGGCUGGACAGGCGAUCCGGGUUGAACUGGUUCCUCACAUCUUGGAAGUCCCAAGAUGACCCGGGAAUGGGCAACUGCUCGUACCGGAUAGAGACAAGUGAGAGUCCACAGGGGUUCUUAUACAUGGGUCAGACUCCAUUGUGGCGGACUGGACCUUGGAUCGGUGAAAGAUGGUCCGGGGUGCCUCAAAUUAAAAAAACUUUCUACUCCAACGUUACUUUUGUGAACACUCAAGAUGAGGUAUCCAUCAUGGAUGGUACUGUUUAUGAAUCAAUCUUCUUUAAAAUGGUGAUCAAUGAAUCAGGAAACAUUGAACGGUCCGCAUGGCAUGAUAAUAAAUGGGUCCCGUAUUGGUCGCCGGAUCGGCAGUGUGAUUUUUACGGGAAGUGUGGUCCGAAUAGCAUUUGUUACCCAAACCCAAACUUUGCGGAUAAAUUUGAGUGCAAAUGCCUACCUGGAUUCGAACCCAAGUUGCAACAUGAGUGGUAUUUGGGAGAUUGGUCAGGCGGGUGCGUGAGGCAAAAAGGAUCAUCCGUUUGCCAAAACGGGGAAGGGUUCUUGAAGUUGGAAAGUGUGAAGGUGCCGGACACUUCUACGGCACGUGUGAACAUGAGUAGGAGUGGGGAAGCAUGUAAAGAAGAAUGCCUGAGAAAUUGUUCUUGCACGGCAUACGCAAAUGCAGAUGAAAGGCAGGGAGGGAGUGGCUGUAUAACAUGGCAUGGCGACUUGAUUGACACGAGGACCUUUUUGUAUACGGGUCAAGAUUUGUAUGUGCGAGUUGAUGCAAAUGUUUCAGGUAUAUUUCCAUUAUCAAUUUAUCUUCUUUCUUCUCUUUUCCUUAUCAAUAAUUCCUCUUAUAACGCCGAGGUUCCAUGAAAAAAAAGAUCUUCUUUCUUUAUGUCAUUAACAAAUUUGAGGAAUUAUUAUUUAGUUUGGUAGUUGUACGUUUGUUAUCAUUCUAAAAAAAAUCAUUUGGCACUGGUCUCUUGCCAAAUAAUAAAAGUGAAAUUGUUUCGUCAAGAGUGUAAGAUGACUUUUUUAGAGUACUAAUUUUUUUUAUAAAAAAUUCAGAAAUAUCUAUAAAUUAAUACUAAAAAUUUAGUUCUUAUGUUCAUUGGAGCUUUUUACAGGGUUUUUUUUUUCCCGAAUUUUUACAAGGUUUUUUAAACAUGGAAAUAAAUGCGUGUAUAUCUGCAGCUCAAUACGCAAAGAAGUCAAACAGUUCUUUUGGCAAGAAGAGGAAGCUGGAAGUUUCAGUAGCAUGUGGUCUAUUGUUCUUCCUUUUGUUUUCCCUUGCAUGUUGGUUGGUAAAGAGGAAGAGAAAAGGUAAACAAAUUUCCUUUUACUAGGUUGCCCUCUAAUCAUUCACAAUUAUGUAACUGGAUAUUGGUUUUAAUUAUUUAAGAACACAAUAUUAUUUAUUUAUGUACUUUUAUCACAGGUAAGAGAAGUCAGGAUAAACUUUUCAAUGUGACCAUAGCAUCAACCUCCUGGGAAGAUUCUUCUGCUAGAACAAAUAUUGAUGAAAGUGGAAUAAACUCUGAAUUACCAUUCUUUGAACUAAGUACCAUAGUUAAAGCCACACAUAAUUUCGCUUCCAACAACAAGCUUGGAACAGGUGGUUUCGGCUCCGUUUAUAAGGUGCGUAGUUGCCCUGAGAUAAUGUCUCAAAUCAUAAAUCAGACUUUGAAUAGACAUUUUUUAGAUUUAUUUUUUAGCCAUCUGCACUCCAAAUCAAUUAUUUUAUUAUUUUUUCCUCUACUCACCCUUGUAGUUAGGCCUGGCAAACGGGUCGUGUCUGUCGUGUUCUUGUCGUUUUCGUGUAGCACCUGUUAUCUUAACGGGUCGUGUUGUGUCAUACAUGUUAUCUUAACAGGUCCUUAACAAGUCGGGUCGGGUAAAGUGACCCGACCCGUUAAGAAAAAUAUAUUUUUUUUCUUAAAUUUGCACAUACCACACUUUGCCACAUAAAUAUUACUUCAAAACAUUAAAACACAUAAUUUAAUAUAUAUAUAUAUAAUUAUUUUAGUUUUUAGGGGUAUAAAAUUGUUAAAUUAAUAUAUAUAUAUAUAUAUAUAUACAUAUAAUUAUUAUAGUUUAUUCAUACUUUCAUUAAGUAUAACAUAAGAUUUUGUGGUAUCCACUAAUGUAAUUUUUUAAAUUGAAGAUCGAAUUCAUUCAUUGUAUUCAUAUAGAGUCAAGGAGUGUAACUGUAAAAAAUCAUCAAAAUCGGAGUUAAAAUAACCGUUAAAUAGUGAUUUUUCGUUUUAUAAUCGUCGAAAAGUUUUGUCUCGUUACUUGAUCUCUGAAUGUUUGUUCUUUGCAAUUUUUGGCGUAUGCGAUCUCGAAGUAUAUACAAACAUGUAUGACAGUUGGAUUGUUGAAACUAGUUUCGUAUAAUGCGUAUCCUAUCAAAACAAUAGAUUCACUAACACUUAGUUUAUUCUUACUUUCAUUAAGUAUAACAUAAGAUUUUGUGGUAUCCACUAGUAUAAAUAUUUUAAAUUGAAGAUUGAAUUCAUUCAUUAUAUUCAUAUAGGGUCAAGGAGUGUAGCUGUAAAAAAUCAUCAAAAUCGGAGUUAAAAUAACCGUUAAAUCGUGAUUUUUCUUUUUAUAACCGUUGAAAGGUUUUGUCCCAUUACUUGAUCUCUAUAUGUUUGUUUUUUGUAAUUUUUGGUGUAUACGAUCUCGAAGUAUAUACAAAUAUGUUUGACGGUUGGAUCGUUGAAACUAGUUUCGUAGAAUGCAUAUCCCAUCAAAACAAUAGAUUCACUAACACUUAAGAGUUUAUUCAUACUUUCAUUAAGUAUAACAUAAGAUUUUGUGGUAUCCACUAGUGUAAAUAUUUUAAAUUGAAGAUCAAAUUCAUUCAUUGUAUUCAUAUAGGGUCAAGGAGUGUAGCUGUAAAAAAUCAUCAAAAAUGUGAUUUUUCUUUUUAUAACCGUUGAAAGGUUUUGUCCCGUUACUUGAUCUUUAUAUGUUUGUUUUUUGCAAUUUUUGGCAUAUGCGAUCUCGAAGUAUAUACAAACAAGUUUGACGGUUGGAUCGUUGAAACUAGUUUUGUAGAAUGUGUAUCCCAUCAAAACAAUAGAUUCACUAACACUUAAGAGUUUAUUCAUACUUUCAUUAAAUAUAACAUAAGAUUUUGUGGUAUCCACUAGUGUAAAUAUUUUAAAUUGAAGAUCGAAUUCAUUCAUUGUAUUCAUAUAGGGUCAAGGAGUGUAGCUGUAAAAAAAUCAUCAAAAUCGGAGUUAAAAUAACCGUUAAAUAAUGAUUUUUCGUUUUAUAACUGUUGAAAAGUUUUGUUCUGUUACUUAAUCUCUGAAUGUUUGUUUUUUGCAAUUUUUGGCGUAUGCGAUCUUGAAGUAUAUACAAACAUGUUUGACGGUUUGAUCGUUGAAACUAGUUUCGUAGGAUGCGUAUCCCUUCAAAACAAUAGAUUCACUAACACUUAAGAGUUUAUUCAUACUUUCAUUAAGUAUAACAUAAGAUUUUGUGGUAUCCACUAUUGUAAAUAUUUUAAAUUGAAGAUCGAAUUCAUUCAUUAUAUUCAUAUAGGGUCAAGGAGUGUAGCUGUAAAAAAUCAUCAAAAUCGGAAUUAAAAUAACCGUUAAAUUGUGAUUUUUAGUUUUAUAACUAUCGAAAAGUUUUGUUCAGUUACUUGAUAUCUGAAUGUUUGUUUUUUGCGAUUUUUUAAUGGUGCGAUCUAGAAGCAUAUACAAAUAAGUUUGACGGUUGGAUCGUUGAAAUUAGUUUUGUAUAAUUCAUAUCCCAUCAAGUUCAAUGGUAUAUAUAUAUAUAUAUAUAUAUAUAUAUAUAUAUAUAUUAAGUAGAUUUAAUUCUAUUUAUUUUGUACGUAUAAUUAUUAUAGUUUUUUGGGGUAUAAAAUUUAAUUUAAAAUUAUAUAUAUAUAUAAUUAUUAUAGUUAAUAUUUUGGGGGUAUAAUUAUUAUAGGCUUUUUAUAUUAGCACCCCACAAAAUGUUGAAUGCACCCCAUAUUAAAAUUUAAUAUUAAAUGACUUAUUUACUCCACUAUGCAAUGACAAUUUUGACCUUAUUAGGUUUUAAAAAAAAUAAAAAUUUAUAAAUACACCUCAAAUCACUUUUAGCAUAUUAUUUAUUUUCUCAACUAUCAAAACCCUUUCAUCUUCCAUUGUUGAAUAAAACUCUAACCAAUGAAACUACAAACAUGUUGAUUGAGAAAAAUUGUUUUUGACGAAUGGAAUACAAAAUCGAUGUUUCUGAAGCUUUACAUGAGAUAAGACUUCACAUUUUUCAUUGUUUUAGUGAUUUCGAUGACAUCAAUAAUUAUUUAAUCUUGCGUUUGCCGCAUUAUUUAAACUUCUAUAUAUUCAUAUUCAUCUUUUAGGGUUCAUAUUAAUCUUGCGAACCUAGUAACAUGAGUCGUAUUAGUGCUAGAGUCAUAUACUACUUUUACAAAUUGACGAUAGCCAUUCUCCACAUGAACUCCUACUCUCAAUCUUUAGCUGUUUGAUUGACGUACAUUUCUCAUUGUGAGUUUUUCUUUCUUUUUUCUUCUUCUUUUCUUGUCACUGGGAGAUGAUCAGUGGAAAAUGAGGAGAGACAUGGCCUAUAUUUAAAGAAAUCUGAGACCGAUUCAGUUUUGAUUUAUUAAUUAACUUCUACACCUGGAUCAUUAGCAGAGAGAGGGUCUUUAUUUAUUUUGUUCAAGACUAAGUCUAAAGACUUGUGAAAUAUAUAUAGAAGCAUUCUUUGUUAGCAGUAACGAGAGAGUCUUUUUUUUUUCUUUUUUUUUACUCGAAAAGACUCAGCACCACGGGUCAUUUUUAAGGCUUUUUAGAAGUUGAAUAAGAUGAUUUCAAACUAUACUAAGAUGAUUUCAAAUCAUCAUUUUGAAAUCAUUCGGUAAACUAAACGUUCAGAUGAUUUGAAAUAUUUUGACAAAUUAAACGUUCAAAUGGUUAGAUUCAAUCCCUGAAAAUUAAAAAUGAGUGUUAUAAGAUUUGAGAAAUGUGGGGUGUAAAGAAAAUGUGGGGUGUAUGUACAAAAUAUAAGAUGUAUAUUGAGAAUGUGGGGUGUGGGGGUAUUAUGGGAAAGUAUGUGGGGUGUAUUUAGAUAAUUUUUAAGUGAAAAAGCAAAUAUGGGGUGUAUUAAGUAUGUGGGGUUUAUUCAACAAUUUGUGGGGUGUUAAUAUAAUUAGCCUUAUUAUAGUGUAUAUAAUUAUUAUAAUUAUUAUAGUUAAUUUAAUAUAUAUAUAUAAUUAUAGUAUUUUUUAGGGUUAUAAAAUUAUUAAAUUAAUAUUCUGCUUAUCGUGUAUCGUGUUACCCACGUAUAUACCCGAACCAACCAGUUAUCUUAACAGGUGAUUAUCGGGUUACCCGAUAACGACCCGAUUCGUUAUCGUGUCGACCCGAACACCUGUUAAUUUCGUGUUGUGUUGUGUCGAGUUAUUGGGUCGUGUCAGGAAUUGCCAGGCCUACUUGUAGUUUAAACAAAAGAACAUAAUGAAUAAAUCUUGCAGAGAAAGAAAUAGAAUCAAGAAGAGAGAGGGAGCAAGAUUUAUAGAGAGAGAGAGAGAAAGAGAAUCAAGAAGAGAGAGGGAGCAAGAUUUAUAGAGAGAGAGAGAGAGAGAGAGAGAGAGAGAUUUUAGACAGAAAAAGUGAAUCUUUGUUAAUGGUUUCAGAAAAAAUACAAGGUAGUGAUCCAUAAGGAUAUAUAUCCAAACUAUAUUGCUUACAAGCUAAGCUAACAUUUAGCUCACAGGUUAUUGACACUUGCAAACAAUAUUACAGUUAACAAAAAUCAAGAGACCCGUCCAAUAAAGACUGGAAAGGCUGACUCAAAAAUAUAUUUCAUUAAAAUUCAUACCCAAUCAAUAAUCGAUAAGUGAUGGGAACUAUCUUGUUUCGACUUUUCACAAUUAUCCCACACGGUGAUGCGGGUUUUGAAAUUGUAUAAAACACAUAGAAAGUUUUAAAUCUAUAUAUGAUAAGCCAUACUACUUAUAUACAUGUGGAAAUCUAUUCACAAACCUAUUCCUAAGCCAUACUAAUUAUAUAUAAGUGAUGGUUGCAUGGUAUUGAUCUUCUACACAAAAAAAGCAAACGUUUUCCACCCUAGGAAAUUGUUAAGCACCUAUCAAACUAAUUAAUUGGAAACAGUAUGGUGCUUCCCAAUCUAAAGAGUCAAUGACACUAAAGCAGCAGAUUAGUGAAUAGAUUAGCGAAUAGUUAAUUAUGAUUUGUUUUGGGUCCAAAGAAACCUUGUUAGGUGAUGGUGAAUCAAUAUGAAAGUAAACAAUGCCGAUUUCAAAAUGGAUACUAAAGAGCUAUUCAUCCGCAUAAGUAAAUACAUACCAACAGAAAAGUGGGCUAAUCCAACCAAUCUCACCAAUGGACAUUGUCACCCGAGCAAUUCGGACUAAAUCUUUGAUGAAACAAAAAAAUGCUGAGGAAAAUGAUCAUUACCCAAAAUUCCAUUCUGAACAAAUAUAUGGACCAAUCUGAAGUAAGACGAAGAAUUAUGACAUGAAAAACUUAAUAAAACCCAAUUUGAACGAAGAACUCAAUCUGAAGCAGAUUUUCACAUGCAAUAGUUCUAGAAGAUGCCUAAGAUGACAAGGAGUCAUUUGAGACCAUCAACUCAACCCCAUUCGAACGCAAUCCCAAAAUCAAAAAGGACAAAAUGGGCAAACAAAAUCAAAGCAUUUUUAUGUACAUGCAUUGAGUUUUACUCCUUUGUUAAUGUAUAAAUGCAAUUUCAAGGGGAGGAUAUAUAUAUAGAGCUACGAUUAUGUUGAUAAUUUUCUUGAAAGGUAAGUGCACUAUAAGUUGAAUUUGGAUUAUAAAUUCAGGGUGUGCUUGAUAAUGGAAAGGAGAUAGCAGUGAAAAGACUAGCCAAGAAUUCUGGCCAAGGAAUUGGAGAGUUUAAGAAUGAAGUUGUGUUGCUUUCAAAGCUCCAACACAGGAACCUUGUGAGGAUCAUGGGUUGCUGCGUUCAAGAUGAAGAGAAGAUGCUGAUCUAUGAAUACUUGGCAAACAAAAGUCUUGACUUUUUCAUUUUCGGUAUGUCUUUCUUUUACUUUUGUUCUUCUUUUUAUACAAGCAAUAUUGUGGAGGGGAAAUCGAGCUCAGGACCUCGGGUGCAGGAUUGAAUGCUCUAAACUCAACUCGGUUACAAGCACCUUUCUUUUCACUUGUGUAUCUAAAAUUGUCGGUUAAAAACCUUGAACCAAGCAAGAAUACAAUCUAAUUUACUUUGCUUACUUUUUUCCCAUACGAAGCAAAAGAGGCGUUCUUGGAUUGGACAAGACGCCUUGAGAUAAUAUGUGGGAUUGCUAGAGGGAUUUUAUAUCUUCAUCAGGAUUCAAGAUUAAGAAUCAUCCAUAGAGAUCUAAAGGCCAGCAAUGUUUUGUUGGAUUCUGCUAUGAACCCCAAGAUUUCAGAUUUUGGUAUGGCUAGGAUAUUUGGAGCUGAACAAAUUGAAGCAAAUACAAACCGUGUGGUUGGGACAUAGUAAGUUUCAUUCAAGACUAAAAGUACACCUGUUUUUUACAAUUUUCAUCCCUAUUUCACAAGGCCACAAACGUGAGUACAACUUUUGUUGAAUACUACAGAAAGAAGCUGUGAUACUUAAUCAAUUUUAUUUUGUUGCUUCAGCGGUUAUAUGUCACCAGAGUACGCAAUGGAAGGAUUUUUUUCAGUAAAGUCUGACGUAUAUAGCUUUGGCGUUUUACUACUAGAAAUUGUUACUGGCAGAAAGAACACUAGCUACUACCACGAUAGUUCUUACUCAAAUUUAGUUGGACAUGUAAGCAUAACAUUAAGACGUACCAAACUUCUCUCCGUCUGCUUUUAUAACUUGAUGAUUAAUUUGUAAAUGGUUUUUAGGUUUGGGACUUAUGGAAGGAAAGUAGAGCCUUGGAAAUCAUUGAUUCAUCGCUGGGAGAAUCAUACCAUGUCAAUGAAGUUCUAAGGUGUAUUCACAUUGCCCUCUUGUGCGUGCAAGAGCAAGCGAAGGAUCGUCCACUCAUGUCAGCAGUGGUUUCCAUGUUGGGUAAUGAUGCAGCAAUUCCUUCACCAAAGCAACCUGGAUUUUUGUUGAAGAGUGGGGACCCAUCAGCCAAUACAAAAGGAGCUUCCUCUAUAAAUGACAUGACCCAUACAGAAGUAGAAGGUCGCUAAGGGGAGAACUAGACGAAUACUCGGAAAUACCAUCAUUGAAUUUAGAGUACGAUCACGUGAUAAGUGAGAUAAGAAUAGAUGAUAUACUCCGAUUUCACUCAAUAAUUUGCCUUUUAAUUAGGGAUCUAAGUUCUAUAUCUACAACACUCAUCAUCUCUCUUGUUGUAAAUACAUGCUAUAAAUUGUGUGCCUUAUAACUAGGGAUCUAAGUUCUAUAUUUGCAAUACUCAUCAUCUGUCUUGUUGUAAAUACAAAAUAUAAAUUAAUUGCAACACUCGUCAUCAGUUCGACGAGGCUACAUAAAAGUACUUUCUAACCGCCAUAGACAUUUAGGAGGGCUGAGAACUUUGUGGCUCAAGGUUUUAGAAGCAGGCAUACUCAGACACUAAUCAAGCCACGUGUCAACUAACAGUCAAGACUCAAAAACAAAAGUCUAGAGCGGGACAUGAAGCUGGUCUGGCCUGCUCGAAGUGACAUGACUAAUUAAUCAAGGCCUAGCGGGACGCUCGGCACACAUUGGACAUUUGGAUGUUAUGAUAAUUUAGUGUUAGAAAUGAUAAUUUAGAGCUUGAAUAUUGUUCACUAUCACAUGUGCUAGUAUAUGCUUCAAAAAAUUUUAGAGGCAAAAUAUUGUUAAAAAUUAUGAUGCUCUUAUUUGUACGGUGAUUUAUACAAAACACUGUAUUAAUGGUGAUAUUUACAUAAAACUAUAUCAUAGUGAUUAGCGAAUAGUGAUUUCUACAUAAAAUUAUAUUAAAAAUAUUUGAGAUGGUAGUCAAAUCUUAUGCAUAAACUCUGUUGUGAUAGUGCAAAAGUUUUUACAGAUUAGAAAUAGUCCAAAAUUGUUUGAGUGCGGUAUCGGGCUCGAAUUUUUUAACCUCACUCUUGCUCAUCUCCCAUAAGAAUCAAGUCAAGCUUACCCGCAAGCUCGAAAAAAUUAAAUAAGCCAAAUUUAAACAUAAUAGUAUUCAGUUCGGCUUGACUAGUUUGCAGUCCUACAUUUAUUUAAAACACCCCUCUGAAUUAUUACCCAAAGACGGGACCUUUUUGUAUCUUUAAGUUGAAAAGCUGAGUGAAUUAUGACUUUCUCCAAUAAAUCCAGAGAUGAUAAUUGGAUAGAUAAUUCCACUGACCAAUCAAUUAACUGUUGGAAAAUAUUAGUAUUUUGGUUUAUUUGAAUGUUUGGUUUUAUGGGUUUAGCCCGUUAGAAUUAGGUUUGUUAGAGAUUAGGGUUAAUUUAUUAUAAAUAGGGUGCUUUGUUAUUCAUUAGAGAACAAGUUAGCCACAAUGUAGUCUCUUAGGGUUUUGUAGCCGUUUCGGCAUUCUCGUUUGUUUAAUAAUAUUCUUAUUAUUUGUUAGUCUUGUUCGUUGCGCACUCUGAUAUUCAACUUGGUAUCAGAGCGGGUUCGAUCCUUAGGGUUCAACCCGUUCUCAUUGGUAUCAAUUUGUUUGCCUUUGUCGUCGUUCGUUUUAGAUUUGUUAGUUGGUAUUGAUUGUUUGCAAGGAAAAGAAAAAUGAAAGGAAAAAAAAAAGUUUUGCUUGCAGAGGAGAAGAUUCCCCAGCAAAUAAAAAAAUGGAACUUUAACGAAAAGCACCCGGUACUGUUCACUUUAACGAAAAACCACAUUUUUACACUAAAAAGUCAAUCCUGGUACUAUUCACUUUACCCUUUAUUUUGUCCUUAUCAUUAAAACUCAAAGUUUUCAAGCCCUUUUCAUUAGUUUUCCUAUAAAAAAAAGGGGACGAAGGAGAAAAGAAGAAAAAGAAGGAAAAAAAAGAGGAACCACGGAAAGGAAGAAGAAGGAAGAAAAAAAUGGGAAAAAAAAAGGAAGGAAAAAAAUAUGGUUGUUUUGUGGUCCGUGUAUUCUUGCAUUGGGCAUGGUAACUUGAACUUGGAAUGGAAAUUUGGCAUCGACAUUGGUAUCGGCAUCGGCAUUGGUAUUGGCAUCAGCAUCGGAAUCGGCAUUGGAAUCGGCAUUGGAAUCGGCAUCGGCAUCAGCAUUGGUAUUGGCAUCGGCAUCAGCAUUGGAAUUUGAAGGCUUGCAUCCACAUCUGCUUGUUGGCAAACUCAUGUCGUCUACCGCCAUGAGUUUGAUAGGGGGUGUUGGAAAAUAUUAGUAUUUUGGUUUAUUUGAAUGUUUGGUUUUAUGGGCUUAGCCCGUUAGAAUUAGGUUUUGUUAGAGAUUAGGGUUAGUUUAUUAUAAAUAGGGUGCUUUGUUAUUCAUUAGAGAACAAGUUAGCCACAAUGUAGUCCCUUAGGGUUUUGUAACCGUUUCGACAUUCUCGUUUGUUUAAUAAUAUUCUUAUUAUUUGUUAGUCUUGUUCGUUGCGCACUCUGAUAUUUAACUUUAACUUGGAUAGAGUUUGCACAAAAACACAAGAAGAUUAAAACCCUUAAUGCAAAUAUGUCACAAAAUACUAUAUACGUGACAAAUCCGAAUCGGUGUUUAGGGGCAUCUCUAAUGAGAAAAUACAAAAUUUGAGAGGAAAAAUCAUAUUUACGUUUCUGAUCGAUGUAAAUGAAGCUAUACUCCAAUGAGAAUGAUGAAAAUUUGAGAUCCCAUUUAAUUUUGUCUCCUUGAUUAGUGGGACUCACCACCAAAAGAUGUAAAAAAGAAUAUAAAUUUAAGUUUUUAUUUACAUCCUUCAACGAAGAUGAAUAAUUUAUAUUUCGCCAUUGGAUAAUUUUUCAGCAAAGAAAAAAAUAUAAAAUGUCCAUUUCAAAGUACUUUGAGAGAUGCCCUUGAGAAGAAAAGCUUACUUACCGUUAUAAUUGUUUAGUAAUCUGAAAUAAUUAUUUACCGCUAUGCAUUUUAGAAUCUAUUGUGUAAAUAAUUAUUCAAUGUUAUGUGCUAAAAUCCAGUUAUGUAAAGAUAUGUGAUUAACUCGAGAUAGAGUAGUUAUAACAUUCCAAAUUUCGAAUAAUCUGGUAGUUCUCGAAACAAAGAAAGAAUGAAGAAAAAAAACCUCUGAAAACAAAAUGUGAAAAGGUGUAAUAGUAAUUUCAUCACUGUAUUACAAUUGUUAUUUUUCUUUUUUGGGCGUAUUAAUGUGUUGUGAGUGUAUGAUUUGGUGGUGAAAGUCUCUGUCUGUCUCUGUCUGUCUCUGUCUGUCUCUCUCUCUCUCUCUCUCUCUCUCUUCGCUCGAAGUCUCAAAAACACACUCCACCAGUAGCACCCGAAAACCUCGUAAACCUUUUUCUUCCAUUUCAUUUCUUUACCGAGUGACACGAGCGAGCGAGUUGAGAAAUGGCGACUCGGUUCCCGGACGAUUUCAAGUGCCCAACUUCCCUCGAAAUAAUGUCGGACCCGGUUAUACUCUCCUCGGGUCACACCUUUGAUCGGGCCUCCAUCCAACGCUGGCUCGACGCCGGUCACACCCGGUUACAAAAGGGUUGAUUGCUAUUGCACUUGUUCAGUUCGUUCUUCUGAUCCGGUGCUGCGCUUCAAUCGAUAGUAUAACAACUGAUCAAGCGAUCAGGGAUGGCGAAGUUCUAUUCUCUAGUGGAGAAGUGUUUGAGCUUGGUUGAUCUUCAGCCCCAGAAAAUCUACGAACACUAUGUUGGAAUCUGGUAUAAGAAAGAUGUAGAAAAAAGAGUUGUAUGGGUUGAAAACAGAGACAAUCCUGUCAAUGACACUUCAGGAAUCCUCUCAACUGGUGCAAAUGGUAACCUCUUCCUCUAUGCCGAAAACCAAAGCGAUAUUCCCCUCUGGUCUGCCAUAUCCAAUGUUUCAAUCGCAUCAUUACCAUCCAAUUCCACACAUGAGCCUAAUUACAAAGCUCAGCUCUUAGAUACUGGAAAUAUUGUGGAGGGGAAAUCGAGCUCAAGACCUCAGGUGCAGGAUUGAAUGCUCUUAACUCAACUCAGUUACAAGCGCCAUUCUUUUCACUUAUGUAUCUAAAAUUGUCGGUUAAAAGCCUUGAACCAAGCAAGAAUACAAUCUAAUUUACUUUGCUUACUUUGCUAGUGGGAUCUUAUAUCUUCAUCAGGAUUCGAGAUUAAGAAUCGUCCAUAGAGAUCUAAAGGCCAUCAAUGUUCUGUUGGAUUCUGUCAUGAACCCUAAGAUUUUAGAUUUUGGUAUGGCUAGGAUAUUUGGAGCUGAACAAAUUGAAGCAAAUACAAACCUUGAGGUUGGGACAUAGUAAGUUUCCUUCAAAACUGAAAGUACACUUAUUUUUUACAAUUUUCAUCCCUAUGUCACAAGGCCACAAACGUGAGUACAACUUUUGUUGAAUAAUACAGAGAGAUGCUGUGAUAAUUAAUCACUUUUACUUUGUUGCUUCAGUGGUUAUAUGUCACCUGAGUACGCAAUAGAAAGACUUUUUUCAGUAAAGUCCGAUGUAUAUAGCUUCAGCAUUUUACUACUAGAAAUUGUUACCGACAGAAAGAACACCGGUUACUACCAAGAUAGUCUUUACUUAAAUUUAGAGCAUAACAUUAAGACAUUACCAACGUUCUCUCCGUCUGCUUUUAUAACUUGAUGAUUAAUUUGUAAAUGGUUUUUAGGUUUGGGACUUGUGAAAGGAAAGUAGAGCCUUGGAAAUCAUUGAUUCAUCUCUGGGAGAACCAUACCCUGUCAAUGAAGUUCUAAGGUGUGUUCACAUUGCCCUUUUGUGCGUGCAAGAGCAUGCAAAGGAUCAUCCACUCAUGUUAGUAGUGGUUUCCAUGUUGGCUAAUGAUGCAGCAAUUCCUUCACCAAAGCAACCUGGAUUUUUGUUGAAGAGAAGUUAUCAUACUAGUGGAGACCCAUCAGACAAUACUGAAGGAGCUUACUCUAUAAAUGACAUGACCCAUACAGAAGUAGAAGGUCGCUAAGGAGAGAACCAGACAUAUACUCGAAAAGAUUAUAUCAAUCAAUUAAGAGUAUGGUCUCUUAUGAGUGAGAUUAGAAGAAAGGAUAUGCCCUGAUUUCACUCAAUAAUUUGCCUUAUAACUAUUGAUCUAAGUUCUAUAUCUACAACACUCGUCAUCUGUCUUGAAAUGCCGCUCCUUUCAUUUUGCAUAUCAUUGAACUUUUGGUAUUUUGUAAUAAUGUACUAAUGUUUUUUCAUUAGACUCUUAUUUUGGGGUAUGUAAUACUUAAAAGACAAAUGUUGUUUUUAUAUUUUGAAGUAAUAUUUAUGUGACUAUAUGGUAUACAUAUACUAAUUUAGUAUUAUGUUUUCAAUUUUUUGGGGGUCAAAUUAUGUUUUUCAUUUUCAUUAUUUAUUGAUUUAAAAUAUAUUUUUUUAACUGGUGUUGGGGGACUUUUAGGUCGAGGCGGACUUGGGCUUUGAGAACGUCACCCUUGGUGCAAGUUCGUGACAAGUCUGGGAUAUCUCGAAGGAGGUAGCUUGUCCUAGGAAACACCCUGGUAACAUCAACGGCUCAAAGAUAGCACAAAAGAUCAAGAUAAUGACUUGCUCAAGCAAAGCAUGGUGUGGAAGCUAGAAGAUUAUCGGUUUACAUGAGAGAAAGAAGGUUUGCAUGGUUGCAUGGCAUUCUUAGUUGCAUGUUUCGGGCUUUCCUAGGGUGAUAGCAAGGCUUCUAGUGGCUGAGAUGUUUGAUGGAGGGCUGUGGAAAUCACUACAAUUGCAUGAAUGGUGAUACUUGAAGCUUAGAGUAUGCAUCUGGACUAGAUGGAACUCUUUGGGCUUCUUCCUGGGUGGAAACAUCUUACUAUGUUUUGUCUAUCUCUCUCUAUGUAUUUCUCUCUGCGUUCUAACCUCCUCAUUUCUAAUAGCUUCUCCCCCUCUUUAGAUAGGUGAAGAGCUUCUCUUUAGAUUUCAAGAAAUAUCUCUUUGUGGCUUGGUCUUCCCCUCAUUUCUCCCUAGCUAUCCCAGUAUUUCCCUUUUGGUGUAAACUAGAUGCACUGUUUGAGUUAUGCAGAUUGCUGUUUCUUGAGAUGCAGCUUUCCUAGGGCGGCCUUCCGCAAGCGCUAAAUCUAGUAGCGCGCUUCUGGGCUUUUGUGCAUUCGCUGUCUGUGCAGGCUGGGAAUGGAAAGUCAGCAUUAAAUGCCUGACUUGCUAAGCUUGACAUGCAUUUAAUGUAAGAAUCUAGUUUAAUUCUAAUUAAGGGGAUUGGCUUACUAGGGAAAUGGAUAAACUAGGCUAGCUCUCAUUCCCAAUGAUGCCUGCGUGAAAUACAAAGGGUAUAGGCUUGGAUCUUUAGGCUCCUAAGCAGCCCAAAGUCUUCCAUGACCCUAAUUCCACAUAGGCCCGAUAACCUUAUGUAAUCAUCCACACCACAAUCCACUUAGCAAGUCUCGAAUAUGUGACUUGGGCUUAGCGUGAAUAUUGACUAAGGAGGCAUGGCGUGAUGAAUAAUACGUGAGCAUGGUGUGAGUAUUCCGCUUAAUUCUUGUGGCAUGGCAUGCUUGUAAAUAUAUUCCUUGUUGGUCCCGUGCCUUGGCAUGUGCUUGGGCUUGAAUGUAGGCUUUGCAUGAUAAUUGGGCUUUGAGACUUGGUAGGAUCGAUGCGUGACAUUUUUAGGCCCCAACAACGAGUAAAUUGUAACAGGUCAGGUCAUAUUACCUAAUAAUAUUAACGGGUUGAUUUCGAAUCAGGUCAUAUUACCCGUUUACUUUAACGGAUAUUGCCUGACACGACCCGUUAAGAUAUUGGGUAUGUCACGAAAACGACAUGAACACGAAAAACACAACAUGAAUACCAGGUCUAAUGCUCGACACACAUUAGACCUUUGGAUGUUAUGAUAAUUUAGUGUCAGAAAUAAUAAUUUAGAGGUAGAAUAUUGUUGACUAUCACAUGUGCUAGUAUAUGCUUCAAAUAAUUUUAGAGGUACAAUAUUGUUAAAAAUUAUAAUGCUCUUAUUUGAACGGUGAUUUAUACAAGGGGAAACUUGAUAUAAGCAAUUUUUUUUAGCCGAUAGUAGGAAUAGUCCAAUUUAUUUAAAUAAGUCCAAUUCUUUAAAUUUAAUUAUUUAAUUAUCAAUAAUUAUCUAUUAAAUGAUAAGAUUUAUUAUUACUUUAGUCUAAAGAAAGGUUUGGAAUUGACACUGUAGAAAUGAAUAGUGUUUCAAUUCGAAUUUCAGAUUAAUUACUACCAUGCCAUUGAUCUUUCUGUUGGUUUUGGGUCAGCAGCCCAGCCUUCAGCCAGGCCCAAAUGUGUUGGUUUUAGCUGGGAAGCAAGGCCCUCAAUGAGGCCUAAAUUAUUUAACUACAUUUUUGCCCAUCUAGUGUAACAUCCCACAUCGCCCAGGGGAGUAAAUCAUGUAAGCCUUAUAUGUAUAUUCUCAUCUCUACCUAGCACGAGGCUUUUUGGGAACUCAAUGGCUUUGGGUUCCGUAGGAACUCCGAAGUUAAGCGAGUAGCUCGUGAGAGCAAUCCCAUGAUGGGUGACCCACUGGGAAGUUCUCGUGUGAGUUCCCAGAAAUAAAAUCGUGAAGGCAUGGUCGGAGCCCAAAACGGACAAUAUCGUGCUACAGUGGAGUUGAGCCGGGGAUGUGGUGAGGGCCCGGGUCGGGAUGUGACAUCUAGGAUUACAAUCUGAUAGUAGGGAUGGUUUAUUACGAAGGGCAAUUUUGUCCUCUCUGUUUUGGGCGAGAUAGGGGGUCACUGGUUAGGUAUCAUUUGCUGUCGUUCAAUUAGGGUUUCGGGAAGGGUCUGCGAGAGAGAGAUAGAUAGAGAGAGAGAUGGCGAUGGAAGAAGAGAGAGGGGGAGGGGUAGGGGUCUCGACACUGUUGCUGCAGAUGAGAGGGUCGGUAUGGUCAAAGAAAACCAUAUGGGUCGUCAGGAUUUCAGGGAGAUAGGGAAGGGGUCAUCAACAAACCCUACCGAGGGUAAGGUGUGCCGGAUCUUGCGUUGCAUGCCUCAAAUCCAAAGGUUAGUUCCUUUUUAAAAUUGUUUUCUUUAAUGGUGCCUUAGAUUUUCUAAUUGUUUAGUAUGUUAGGUCCAGUUUUAGGGGAUUUGUGAUUUUAUAGAGAGAGAUGGAUAGGGAGAUAGAGAUUGACAGAGGGAAGAAAAAGCAUGGUUGUGUGCAUUUUUUUGGGUUAAUUAAUGGGUUAGCGCACAGGGUCAGUGAGGAGAGUGACAAAGGGGUGUAUAGGAGGGUAUGGGUUUUCACUUUUUUGCUCUGAUUCAACAGGUUAUGCACUGUUUGAAAAUCAUUGUUUAUUGUUUUGUUUUCCGUUUGCUUUGUUAAAACCAUAUUUCAAUUUUUUUGGUUUCAUUGUGCUCAUUUAUGUGCUUCUUAAUAACUUCCUGGUGUUUGCUUCUCAUCCCUUUGUUGGUAGAUUUUUCCCCAUUUCUUGGUUCCUUAUGUAUUCCUUGGUACAAAUCUGUCUAAUUUUUGGCUAUGUGAUGAUCCUUGCAGGUGAGCUACAUUAAUGUUGUUUUGAAACACAGAGCUUCAUCCCCUCGAAUAUGCAAUUCAUAGUAGCAGCCUCACCCUUUCACUAUUAUCUGCUUAAAGCAAAACAUUUUUAUUAUGGCCUUGGUUUCUUGACAUUUUUAGGUAUAUAAUUUGCUAUACUUUUGUUUUGGUUACUUCAGUUAGAUGUAAUGUCACCUAACAUAGUAUAAUAGACAAAAUCACCAUCUCUGUUCUCUUCAAGAUAAUUUAUUUCGUAAUCCAACUUUGUUUGCAAGCUUUGUUUGCAAUAGUAUGUAUAAGCCAGAUCUCUUAUUUCCCUGCAAAUGAAUAGAAUUAAUGCAAUCCUCGGUCAAAUCAUUUAUCACAUUCAGACAAGUUCCCAAUUAUUUUUGCAUAUGAAGAAGACCAUCUUCACCAACACCGGAUUUAUCUGCAAACUUAAUUUUGAUCACCCCGAACUUAUUAAUCAAGAAGCCACUGUUUUAAUAAAAUUUGGCAUAAUCUUUAACAUGAAUAUAGAAGGAAAGAAUGGAUGUAUAUGUGUAGAAAUUAUGUUGGAAGGUUGGUUAAACUUAGGCUUAUUCUCAAGUAUAGUAUAAAUUCUUGGGUUAUUUGGAUUUCAGUAUUUAUCAAACUUUGCCUUGCUUAUGUAUUGAUCUCAUAACUGUCGCUUUCAUACAACAACCCAAAUAUGGAAUCUGCCAUCUGGAUUCUAUAUGGAAGUUGUGAAGCUUUUUUCCCUCAAAAUUUUGGUCUUUUUGUUUUUGUAUGUUGGUUUAAAACAAGGGUUAUUCUACAAAAUGGUCCCUGAGAUUUGCAUGAUCAAUAGAAAUGGUCCUUGAGAUUGAAAAUCAAUAUAAAUAAUCCCUGAGAUUGUCCACCAUCCAUGAUUUUGGUCAUUCCGUUAAAAACUCUUUGGGCAAUUUUCAAAGCUUCGUAACUUAAUUGAUUCUUAACCAAAUUUGACCCAUAAUAUAUAAAAAUGAAUAUAAGAAAGUGUAGAACAAGAUUAUACCUAUUUGGAAGCCCAAUGAUUUCCAGAGAUGGCUUGAAAAUAGCCUGAAAGGUGACUGGUCCGUGGGAAAACUGGAAAACUCGCCAGAAACUAAGUAAACUUUAAGCGUUCAUAACUUCUUCAAUACUCAACGAAAUCAAGUGAUUCAAAAAUGAAAAUCAUACUUCUCAAAGAUACGAAGAGAAUGGUAUCUUUCUUUACUACUAACUUGCCAUGAUUUAGCCGGAAAACUGCUCGAAAGUGGCUAACUCAAAAAUGGUUAGCCACAUUUGAGCCGUUGUUCAACCAAAACACAGCGAUUUAGCCUUCAAAAAAAGUACCAUUCUCUUCGUCUCAUCAAGAAGUAUUAUUUUCAUUUUUGAAUCACUCGAUUUGGUUGAGUAUUGAAUAAGUUAUGAAUUUUUAAAGUUUACCCAGUUUCCGGCGAGUUUUCCAGUUUUCCCAUGGACCAGUCACCUUUUAGGCUAUUUUUCGGCCAUCUCCGGCAACCAUUGGGCUUCUAAAUAGAUAUAAUCUUAUUCUCCACUUUCCUAUCUUCAUUUUGAUAUAUUAUGGGUCGAAUUUAAGAAACAAUUGAGUUACAAAGCUUUGAAAGUUGCCCAAAAUCGUUUUUAACUAAAGGACAAAAUCAUGGAUGUUGGACAAUCUCAGGGACCAUUUUGUAUAAUAACCCUUAAAACAAAUAAAAAGUUUUUGUAUUGGUAUUUUGCUUUUGUUCCUAAACAAUGGCAAUUUUUUACUUCUGAAAUGAUUGUCACCUUAUUAUUUGUUUAUGUGCCAGUGCCAAGUUCUGAUGGUGCUCAUUGCUCUAGGAAAAUUGGGAGGGGAAAUUUUCAUAUGCUUUGUGGAAUCUUUGAUGCAAUUAGCAUUUUAAAUUUGACCCCUCCCAUUAGUUUUUUUUUUUUCUGAUAAAUUCUGUUGCGAUCUAUGUGUGUUGCUGAUGAAAGAAGAUAAAGGUUUAGCCAUGAUUCUUAAUGGUCCCUGAAACUUGUUGAUGCACAAAAUCAGUGGGGAAUUUGGUAUAACAGAAAAUGUUAAGUUUGUGACCUUCGCUAGAUUGCUCCGGUCACUAGUGUGGAUAAGUAUGUAAAUGGACAGAGACAAGGAAGCAAACACAAGAUGUACGUGGUUCACCCAGAUUGGCUACGUCCACGGAGUAGAGAAGUUCUCAUUAAUUGUGAAGGGUUUACACAAGUACAUAGGUUCAAGCUCUCAUUUAGUGAGUACAAGUGAAUGAUUUAGUACAAAUGACAUUAGGAAAUAUUGUGGGAGAAUGAUCUCCUUUUAUAAAAGAGAGUUUCUAGUUUUGUUUUGACGUUAACACGUGUCGUGUUGUGAUUAGCUUCUGAUGUUGACACGUGUCGUGCUAUGAUUGGCUUCUGAUGUCGACAUGUGGUGCACUGUGAUUGGCCUUUUGGUUGGAGGGAAACUCUUUUGGGUCCUUGACGGUAUAACGUUGAUUAGUGCUUAGUAGUUUUGGGAUUGGUCAAGUAUGGUAUAAACAAAACUCAUGGGUACUUUCACUUACUAUGCAUACGGUGAUAAUUGUGGCUGAGGCUGUUAUGAUUCAUAACUAGGCAAUUUCCUCUCACAUUUCCUUUGGUUGUGUAAUGAUUUUCUUUUGUCCUAACUUCACUUGCCAUCAUAUGUUUAGGCUUGGGUUACCCUUGGUAGAGCAAAGUUAAACUUUGGGGAGGCUGAUAGUGCCAUUCAAAGCUUUGACAGAGCAUUAGCCAUCAAGGUACUGUUUCACCUUUCAAGAAAUUAUAAUUUGUACUUCUCAAACUUCUUACACUUUUUUAUGCCUCUUUGAGCCACUGACCUUAGGUGGAGUCUGAUACUGCAAUAUUAUGUACUAAUCUAAUAAACCCUGCAGCUUAUUCGUCUUCUUCAUGGGUAAAAUAACAUGACAGAAAGAAGCAGUAACCAGUUCACCCAUUCCCUUGAUGAUCGUUAUAAUCUUUGUUUUCUUAGUCUCCUCUAUGCCCUCCUCAUCAAGAAAGUUCUUAAACCUGUUCCCAUAUGUGUAUUGUUAAGUUGCUAAUUUAUAGAUUAACCUACUGUGAUUCUGUGCUUGAAGUCAGGCAUAUGGUUAGACUUCCAAAUUGAUGCCUUAGUAGCUUCAAUGCUUGCCUUAAAAUUACUAUAGGCAUAACUGUUACAGUUUGUUUGUACCAUACUUGACCAAUCCCGAAACUACCGAGCACCGGCCAACGCUAUACUGUCAAGGACCCAGAAGAGUUCCCCUCCGACCAGGAGGCCAAUCACUACUCGACACGUGUCAAGAUUAGAAGCCAAUCAGAGCGCAGCACGUGUCGACAUCAAGAACCAAUCAUAACAUGACACAUGUCAAUGUGACAAAGCUACAAGUUUUUCUAUAAAUAGGGGUCAUUCCCCCACAAUAUCGCCUAAUGCCAUUUUGUGUUAAAUCAUUCACAAGAACUCACUAAAUUGAGAGCUUGAUCCUUUGUACUUGUGUAAGCCCUUCACUACUAAUAAGAACUCCUCUACUCCGUGGACGUAGCCAAUCUGGGUGAACCACGUACAUCCUGUGUUUGCUUCUCUGUCUCUAUUCAUUUACGUACUUAUCCUCACUAGUGACGGAAGCAACCAAGCGAAGGUCACAAAACCUGACACUUUCUGUUGUACCAAAGUCUUCGCUGAUUUUGUGCAUCAACAUUUGGCGCCGUCUGUGGGAAACGACACUUAUUCCUACUCUCUUCAGCUGUGUCAAGCUGGUUUCUAUCAUUCGUACACUUUCUUUUGAUCUGGCAUCCCUCUCCAGCAUGGGAAGCGAAGGAAGCCACAGCACACAGAAUGACACCCCCCUUGCACAUAGUGCGAAACAACGAAAGAAGGAAGGAAAACGAGUUAUUCUUCAAGCUAAAGUCGAUGAGUUGGAAGCUUAGAACAACAAGAUAGCAAUGAGGAAUGAGGUCCUCCAGGAGCAAUAUGAGAAGCUCUUCGAGACACUUCACGAAGCUAGGCAAGCUCAGACACGCGAGCUUGUUGCCCCCGUGGAAGUCAACCAUCAACUGGGUGCCCUCCAACAUGGAGGGUCACAUGCAUUCGACAUAGAUAUCCCUGAUAGGGAACAAAUUACCCCUCGAUUUGAUAAUCAACAUGAGGCUUCUCUUAACCCAGUUGCUUCGACCCGAACCAUGAGAAGCGGAGGGAGACACCUCUUUGCUGAAGGGGCAGAAGGAUCGAAAGCUGUCUUUCGCGAUUGUCGGGAUUUCCUGAAGCAACGUCGAGAGAAUUCCAUCCAUAUAAGCUCAAAGAUCAAUGACCCAAGGAUUUCUGAGAGACUCGGUCCCCUGCCACGGCCCGAGCCGGCCACCAACUUGGGGAAGGGGCAACAAGUCCUAGAGAGACAUGAGGGUACAGGGGACUCAGAGGUGUUCCGACAGACAUACCCUGGAAGCCAGUACAGCGAGUCCAGGGAAAAAAUCACAUGCCCUUGAUCAAACCUUCCUAAUUCCAAGAGGAGAUGGAGAUUUACGAAAGAAAGCUCCAGUGGCACAUAACUCCGCUCAGGACCCCCCUUGUCCUACAACUUCUUGAGGAAGUAAACAAGUUGAAGGCUGAACGUCAGGCUAAAAUACCUGACUGGAACCAACCCAGGCCUGGCCCUCUUACAAGGAGGAUCCUCAACACCCCCCUUCAAGCAAAGACAAAGCAGAAGCUUGGCUUGCAACUUUAUACUGGGAAAGAGGACCCGAUUGAGCACCUUAACCUCUUUGAGUCCACCAUGGCAUACCGGAUGCACACCGACGAAGAGCGAUGUCUUCUCUUCCCCUCCACCCUCUCUGGCGGAGCUCUAAAUUGGUAUUGUCGUCUUACACCUGAGACGGUAGACUCAUUUGAGGAAUUGAGGAAACUAUUUGUUUCCCAACACAUUUUCCAAACCGAUCGCUUGCACUCUGCAGAUGACCUGUACACUAUCCGCCAGAAGCCAGACGAGUCAUUACGUAUGUAUGCUGGCCGCUUCAGCCAUGAAUACUCCCGGUGUGCCGAGGCAGACGACAAGACUGCCCUCAAAGCCUUCACGGCAGGCCUACGUGAUUGUUUCUUUAAAUACAUGAUCAAUGUCAAUACUUGGAAGACUUACUCUGAGGUGAUGGCGCAGGCUUAUAACCAUGCCUCCGCCGAGGCAAAGACAUAUCAGGAGAAACCCCCUACAACCAUCCUUUAUCAACAAGUGGGAGGUGGAAGCCAGACUCACCUAAAUGAGAAGACCUCGACUUUCCAAACAGCAGUGGCACCUCCCCAUGCCGUGCAUAAUGCUUCACCGAAUCAACAGACAUAUCAAUUUCAAGGCAAGAGGAAGGAUUUCCAUCCUCACCACUCUCCUUCCAGUAAAAAGAGUAAGGGACACUAUCCCGAUAACCAAGGGUAUCGCCACAAUAACGCUCGCCCCCAGGCAGUCAAUGCAGUGGGUCAAACCCGCGUCAAGAUACCCCCUACCCCAAGGUAUGAGACAUACACGCCCUUGAAUGCCACAUGCGCGGCCAUUUACCCCAGCAUAGCUCACCUGAUACCAAAGCCAAAGCCGAGGCACCCAGAUUACACGCCCCCGAAUAACGCGGGCAUGUUUUGUUGCUACCAUGAGCAUAACGGCCAUGAUAGCGAGAAAUGUAUCAUCCUCCGUGAUCGUAUUGAAGCUUUGGCACGAGAAGGAAAAAUUGAUCAAUUCCUCCUUCACCCUCAAAGGGAUAACCGUAACCAACGCCAGGUGAAUGUCAUAUAUAUUCCAUAAGCGGCGGCACACCCCAUAUCUGAAUCUUCCAAUAGGGCCAUGAAAAACAGUGAACGAAUUCUGAGGCCUGGUCACCAAGUGUUUCACGUGGAAGACAUCAGGGGAGGGAAGUAUCAAAAGCCUAACUGGGAUCCGAUAUGUUUCUACCCUGAGGAAGAAAGAGGCAUCAUCUACCCUCAUAACGACCCAUUGAUCGUGGAGGCUCACAUAGCCAACUUUGAUGUUCGACGAAUCCUCGUAGACACAGGGGCUUCGGUCAAUAUCAUGUUUGCCGAAGCUUUCAGGGCACUCAGUGUAGCUGAACACUUGCUCGAUCGCUCGAUUUCUCCUCUGAUAAGCUUCUCCGGUGAUAUCGUGCAACCCUUAGGGAGCAUACAUUUACCCUUUACUAUUGGUACAGGCCCUUACACGGCUACCAUUACCACUAACUUCCUAGUGGUUGACUGCCCAACGGCAUACAAUGUCAUCUUUGGGCGCACAGGCAUCAAUGAUCUCAAGGCUAUAUGGUAUCCACGCAUAUGCUGUUGAUGAAAUUUCCAACCCCCAUGGCAACGACUACAUCAGAGGAGAUCAGCUUACUGCACGAUCAUGUUACAACACUUCAGUUAAGCAACAACACUUGCCCGGACCCAAGGAAACCCUGUCUGUACAUGACCAAGUCACAAAGACCAGCCUAGAUGAAGCGAACUUGGAUCUUCCUGAUAGCAACAAUCAACCCGAUGAUCCUCGAGAUGACUCUUUCACCCAGCAAGCCCAACCUGCUGAAGAGUUGGAGAAGGUACCUAUCUCAAGAGAUUAUCCAGAUCGCAUGGUGAAGAUUGGCACCACAUUGUCACCACCCCUUCGGUUAGCAUUGAUAUCUUUUUUGAAAGAGAACACUGAAGUCUUCGCCUGGUCAUACGAGGACAUGCCAGGCAUCUCUCCCGAUGUCAUCUGUCAUCGUUUGAGUAUUGACCCCAAGAUCAAGCCGGUGAGACAGAAGCGAAGAUCUUAUGACGCUGAACGAUACGAGGCAAUGAAAGCAGAAGUUGAAAAACUCAAAGGCAUAGGCUUUGUCCGCGAAGUCAAUUACCCGACAUGGGUAGCAAAUGUGGUCCUUGUUAGGAAAAAUCCGACCAAAGAAAGUCUUUCGCUUCAAAAGGUCUUGUGGAGGAUGUGUGUUGACUACACCGACCUAAAACAAAGGGUGUCCGAAAGAUAGUUUCCCUCUUCCUCUUAUUGACAGGCUUAUAGACUCUACGGCAGGGUGUGAGCUCUUGAGCUUUAUGGACGCUUAUUCAGGAUACAACCAAAUCCUCAUGAACCCCUCAGACCAAGAACACACGGCCUUCACUACUGACAGGGGACUAUAUUGCUAUAAAGUCAUGCCUUUCGGCCUAAAGAAUGCAGGAGCAACUUAUCAGAGACUGGUCAAUUCAAUGUUCGCCGAACAAAUUGGGAAGAACAUGGAAGUUUACGUUGAUGAUAUGCUAGUCAAAAGCAAACAUGCUGACCAACACAUCACCAACCUAUCUGAAACUUUCACCAUUCUAAAGAGGUAUCGAAUGAGGUUGAACCCCAACAAAUGUGCCUUCGGCGUGGGCUCUGGCAAAUUCUUAGGCUUCAUGAUUAGCCAACGAGGCAUUGAAGCUAACCCUGAAAAGAUCAAAGCAAUCCUCGACAUGAAAGAGCCAAUAACUUCAAAAGACAUCCAAAGCCUUACUGGCAAGGUGGACGCCUUAACCAGAUUCAUCUCUAAGGCCACAGACAGAUGUGCUCCUUUCUUCAAAGCACUCAAGGGAAAUAAGAAGUACAUUACAUGGACGGAGGAAUGUGCCAAGGCAUUCAGGAACCUCAAAGAGUACAUGAGUAAAGCCCAUCUGCUCUCCAAACCAGAAGUUGGUGACACUCUCAUCAUCUAUCUAUCGGUUUCGGCUUCAGCAGUCAGUUCUGUUCUUAUUCGAAUGGACAGUGGUGUCGAACGGCCCGUCUACUACGCUAGCAAGGCCCUACAAGAUGCGGAGACACGAUACUCCAACAUUGAGAAAUUAGCUCUAGCAUUGGUCAUGUCUGCUCGGAAACUUCGCCCUUAUUUCCAAGCACACGCCAUCAUCGUGCUUACCAAUCACCCUCUUCGACAGAUACUCCAGAGUCCUACACGUCUGGACGAAUGAUCAAAUGGGCGAUAGCAUUGGGUGAGUUUGACAUCUCCUACCAACCAAAACCAGCCGAAAAAGGCCAAGCAGUAGCAGAUUUCAUCGCCGACUUCACAUAUCCUGUUGACAUUGCUUCUACACCUAAAGCAGUAGCUUCAUUACCAUCGAAAGCUCAGAAGAUAGAACCAACAACCCCAGCAUGGAGUCUGUAUGUUGAUGGCUCAUCCAACCAACAAGGCUGUGGAGCGGGACUAGUCUUGACUACGCCCGACAAAGUAGCAAUGGAGUAUGCUCUUCGUUUCAAAUUCAAGGCAUCAAACAAUGAGGCCGAGUAUGAAGCCCUUCUAGCAGGAUUACGUUUGGCCAAACACCUCGGGGUUAAACAAAUUGAUAUUUUCAGUGACUCCCAAUUAGUGGUCAACCAGGUUACCAACAACUUUGAUGCUAAGGACAGCUCCAUGGCAGCAUAUCUUGCGCAAACACAACUUUUGCUCAAACACUUCCACUACCAGAUCACCCAAGUUCCUCGAGCGGCAAACAGUCAUGCAGACGCCCUGGCUCGCCUCGCCUCAGCUGUGGAAGACAAGAUUGGAAGAAAAAUUNCUGGAAGUACUUUUUCUCCAUCCAGGGGUGGUAUCUUUAACCGAUGAAGAUGCACAAGGUAAUGUAUCAAUUUCACUUGAAGCUUAGUUGUAGUUUUGGGCUUGGUCAAGUGCGAUACAAACCCUAUAGUAGGAGUCCCCUAAGUCGCCGAGCUAGGAGAUUUUCGGAAUGAGGUAACAGACAAGGUAAGCAAUCAGACUUCCAAGCAAGCAACCUAGAUCGGAGGUUCGACUUCAGCUUCCGGUUGAUUGUUCUCCUUCUUCUUGUGUUGUAAACAGCAACAAAGAUAAGGAGAAGCAAAUGGAGAAUAAAUGAUAUGAGAUACUUUUGCUUUUGAAGAAGUAACUUUCCACCAGUUUAUUCUUGAACUGGGCUGGAGGGUUUUCUGGUUUCCUCUAGAGUAUAAGGCUGACUCAAGAAUUUAAGGGUCAAAACAAGUCCAUCAAAUCUGGAGUACGUUCGACCCUGAUGAUAUGGGAUACUUUUGUUGUUGACAAAGUAGUGGAUGUAUCGACACGUGUUCUGUUACGCUUGUCUCCACAUGCUUCCUUGUAUCCUUCUCACUUGCCCUAUCUGUUCCUCAGGCAGAUAUGGUAUCUUCUUUGGAAGCAUAAGAUGUUGAAGAUGAGUACUCAAGAGCAAUGCCAGGUAAGUAAUCAGGCAAGGGGUUACAGGCAAUCAGUUUCUAACUGGAAGCUUGAUUCCAAGUGCUGACUGAUUGCUCUCUUUCUCCUUGUCUUACAGGUAAGAACAAGGCCAAAGGAAAAGACAGGGAAAAAGCAUGAUAUGGGAUACUCUUGCUUUUAACCGUGAUGAUAUGAGAUACUCUUGCUCUGGUGUGGCUUGUUUGCAGAGGUAUUAUGGGGAGGAAAAGAAGCUGAGUAUUUCGAGAAACUCUGCUGAGAGUGCCCUCUCGGAUGUGAGGAAAAGUUGAGCAUUUUUUUUUAUUUGCAGGUCUGCCUGGCUAUGGAGGAUGAAGGUCGACAUAUAUAAGAGUCUCCUUAAUAACAAGUAGUAGUGCUAUUCCUUUACCCUUCUUGGUCAUAGCAAUGUAGUGGGAGCUGCAAGCUUCACGUGUUUUAACUUUGUCAGAGCACUUUGAAAAACUGGUAUGUGGUAUCUGAAAAGCUGAUGUUGCGUGUGAAGAUUGCAGACAAGCUUUAUCCAAGGAAAUCUGGCUCUCGAAGUUCGAAAAGCAGUGCCUCUUCGAUUUUUGAACAAGCAAUCCUGUCAGGGAUCUUACUCUCGAGAUUCAGAUAACGGUGCCUCUUCAAUUUUUGAGAAAGCAAUCUUGUUGGGAGUCUGACUCUUGAGAUUCGGAGAACAGUCGAUUUUUUAGAAAGUAAUCUUAUUGGGAGUCUGGCUCUUGAGAUUCGGAGGGUGGUGCCUCUUCGAUGUUUGAGCACGUAAUCCUAUUGGGAGUCUGGCUCUCGAGAUUUGGAGAAUGGUGCAUCUUCGAUUUUUGAGAAAGCAAUCUUGUUGGAAGUCUGACUCUCGAGAUUCGGAGGGCGGUGCCUCUUCAAUUUUUGAGCAAGCAAUCUUAUUGGGAGUGUUUUCUCGAAUGUGAGUAAAGGUUUGACAUUUUUGCCAGUCUGCCUUGCCACGGAGCAUGAAGGUUGACACACAUUGAGACUUUCUAGUUAUCAAGCAGUGGUGUUGUUCCUUUACCUUUGUGGGUAAUAGUAGGGUAGCUGGACCUUCAAAAUUUAUAUGUCUAAACUUUGUCAGAGAUUUUUGGCAAAGUUAUCUGUGGUACCCGAGGAGAUGAUGUUGCAUGUGGAAAGUGGUCUCUAUUCGGAAUCCGGAGAGUGGUGCCUCUUCGAUUUUUGAACCAACGGCCCUGUUGCCUUUUCUUUUAUAAGGGCACCAAUUUGUGCUAGAAGUACAUUUAGAGAGUUAUUGCUUGUAGGAAUUUUCCCCUUACUUCAGAGAUUUAUUGCACCUCAUUUCUCAUUCAUCAUUUCUGAGAAUGUCUGGCUCAUCCGACCAUUGUUUUGACUUGAACUUUGGUGAAGAGGCAGCCAUGCCUUCUUAAGACAACAUAUGACGCCCAUCUUUCUUAUCCCCUACUGGUCCUCUUACCGUUGGGGACUCUAUGAUGAAGAAUGAUAUGACCGCUGCGGUGGUGGCCAGGAACCUUCUCACUCCCAAAGAUAACAGACUACUUUCCAAACGGUCUGAUGAGUUAGCUAUUAAGGAUUAUCUGGCUCAAAGUGUUCAGUGUGCAGGUUCUGUGUCUAAUAUGGCCCAACGCCUAUUUGCUCGAACCCGCCAAGUUGAAUCAUUGGCAGCUGAAGUGAUAAGUUUCAAACAGGAGAUCAAAGGGCUCAAGCAUGAGAAUAAACAGUUACACAUGCUCGCACAUGACUAUGCUACAAACAUGAAGAGGAAGCUCGACCAGCUGCAGGAAUCUAAUGGUCAAAUUUUACUUAAUCAUCAGAGAUUUGUGGGUUUGUUCCAAAGGCAUUUAUUGCCUUCGUCUUCUGGGGCUGUACCGCGUAAUGAAGCUCCAAACGAUCAACAUUUGGUGCCUCAUCUUUCUGGGGUUCUGCCUAGUACUAAGGCUCCGAAUAACCACCCUCUGGUGCCUCCUAAUUCUGGGGCUCUCCCGACUACUGAGACUUCUCCUGAGCAACCUUUGUGAAGGCUCCCUCUUGUUUGUUUAUUUUGAUUCAUGUAUAUGUACAUAUUUGUAACUUAUCGGAGAUAUCAAUAAACAAGCUUUGCUUCAUUUCAACGUAUUAUGUUAAAUACACCAAGGCCUUCUUCAUUAAGUUCUUUGAAUUUUUCCUUUUGUUGAAUCUUGUAUGUUGAAGCUUUAUGAGUGAAGCCUGUAUGUUGAGGUAGUGCUCCCUUAAUUUCCCGAGUGAGGAAAACUGCUUGGUUGGAGACUUGAAAAAAUCCAAGUCACUGAGUGGUCAUGAGACUUCUGAGUAUCAAGGUACAGUAGCAUAUGGUAGGAGUCCCCCAAGUCUCCGGUCAAGAGAGUUGACGAAUAAGGUGUCUUGCUAGUAGCCAAGUUUCCAAAGUAACAAAAUUUCACCAUUUUCCUUUCUAAGUGGCAACCCAAAACUCCGAAUAUAUAUUUAUUUUUUUUUUUCAAAUAAGAGGAGCCUAGGCAAUUUAUUUAUUUAUUUAUUUUUUCAAAUUUUCAAAUUUUUGAAUUUUUGAAUUUCCGAAUAUAUAUAUAUAUAUAUAUAUAUAUAUAUAUAUAUAAAGCUUUGUAGGUGAAGUUUUGAGGUUGAAACUUUGUUGGGUACCAUGAAUUGAUUUUGCUUCACACUAUCUUGUCAAGAUAAUGUGAAGCUUUUGAGAAUUUGUAGUUGUCCUCCAUUGAUGAAGCAAUUUGUAGUUGUCCUCCAUUGAUGAAGCUUUUGUUGGUGAAGCUUUUGUGGUGGGGGAAGCUUUUGUGGGAGAAGCUUUUGUGGUGUGAGACUUUUGUGAGUGAAGCUUUUGUUGGUGAAGCUUUUAUGGGUGAAUCUUUUGUAGGUGAAGCUUUUGUGGUGGGUGAAGCUUUUGUGGGUGAAGCUUUUGUGGUGGGUGAAGCUUUUGUGGGUGAAGCUUUUGUUGGUGAAGCUUUUAUGGGUGAAGCUUUUGUAGGUGAAGCUAUUGUGGGUGAAGCUUUUGUAGGUGAAGUUUUUGUGGUGGGCGAAGCUUUUGUGGUGGGUGAAGCUUUUAUGGGUGAAGCUUUUGUAGGUGAAUGAUGAUGCACAAAAUCAGUGAGGACUUUGGUACAACAGAAAGUGUUAAGUUUGUGACAUUCGCUAGAUUGCUCCGGUUACUAGUGUGGAUAAGUAUGUAAAUGGAUAUGGACAGGGAAGCAAACACAAGAUAUACGUGGUUCACCCAGAUUGGCUACGUCCACGGAGUAGAGGAGUUCUCAUUAAUUGUGAAGGGUUUACACAAGUACAUAGGUUCAGGCUCUCAUUUUGUGAGUACUAGUGAAUGGUUUAGUACAAAUGACAUUAGGAAAUAUUGUGAGAGAAUGAUCUCUAUUUAUAGAAGAGAGUUUCUAGUUUCAUUCUGACAUUGACAAGUGUCGUGUUGUGAUUAGCUUCAGAUGUUGACACGUGUCGCGCUAUGAUUGGCUUCUGAUGUCGACACGCGUCGAGCUGUGAUUGGCCUCCUGGUUGGAGGGAAACUCUUCUGAGUCCUUGACUGUAUAACGUUGACCGGUGCUCAGUAGUUUCGGGGAUUGGUCAAGUAUGGUACAAACAUACUUUAAUCUUCUCCCGGGUCCCCAAUUACAACAAAAAUCAGAAUUGUAUAAAUAUUAAGAACACAAUGAAACUGAAAAAAUUAUAUGGUUCUGGAAGGUAUACAAAAAGUUUCCCCUUCUUUCGUCUUAAAUUUGUUUUGCAGCUUUAUUUCGGCUCAAGUUUCAUUUUCUUUCGUCUAGGAAAUUUUUAUAGCCUGAAAUUUCAAUGGAACUGAAAUAGGGAGAGGAGGACAACCCAAAUUUCUGAAUGAUCCCACUGCUUCUGGUGUACGAAGAUAUGAAGAUUUGCCAAUUGAUGAACACAGAGGAGAAACAGAUUUACCUUCUUUCGAUUUAACCACCUUGGUAGCAGCCACAGAAAACUUCUCUUAUGCUAACAUGCUUGGCCAUGGCGGCUUCGGCAUGGUAUAUAAGGUACUUCCCCUAGAACAUUUUGAGAUCUGUGCAUUAUGUGGCUUCGGCAUCUCUGUUGUCAUUAAGAUUUUCGAGUCUGCACCAUGAUUUCAGGGAUGUCUAGCUGAUGGACAAGAAAUAGCUGUUAAAAGAUUAUCGAGAAAUUCAGGACAAGGCAUAGACGAAUUCAAGAACGAAGUAAUGCUUAUUGCAAAGCUUCAGCAUAGAAAUCUUGUGAGGCUUUUGGGUUGCUGCAUACAUAAAGAAGAGAUGAUGCUAAUCUAUGAAUACAUGCCAAAUCGUAGCUUCGACUUAUGCAUUUUUGGUAUGCCAUCUUUACACACUGCUAUUAAAUACUUUAAGUUUUCUGACAUAAACCCUGAAAUUAAGAAAUCAUAAACUUGUAGAUAAUAGAAGCUUUUAUGUGUGGUGUUCAGAUAAAAACGGAAAUUCGUCGUUAGAUUGGAGAAAAAGGUUUCAAAUUAUCAUUGGGAUUGCUCGAGGCGUCCUAUAUCUUCAUCAAGAUUCGAGACUAAAAAUAAUCCACAGGGAUUUGAAAGCGGGCAAUGUUUUACUCGAUGGUUCAAUGAACCCAAAAAUAUCAAAUUUUGGCAUAGCAAGAAUGUUCGGGGAUGACCAAAUUGAAGCAAACACGAACAAAGUUGUUGGCACCUAGUAAUUGUCUCAUCUCCCUUGAAAAAAAAAAUUCAAGUAGAACCAAUAUUUUUUUUUACUCAUAUUGUGUAAUUGCAGCGGUUACAUGUCACCGGAGUAUGCUAUGGAUGGGCUAUAUUCCACAAAAUCCGAUGUGUUUAGCUUCAGAGUCUUGACACUAGAGAUCAUUAGUGGAAGGAAGAAUACCUUCCAAUUUGAAAACUCAUCUCUAAAUCUAGUUGGACUAGUAAGUAAACAGAUAAUUUUUCAACCGAUGAAUCUAACUUUCGAGUAGUCCAAUGAUCUAAACUUUGUGCUCAAAAUUGUUUCAGAUAUGGGGCUUGUGGACAAAAGGAAAAGUCUUGGACAUAAUUGAUUCAUCAUUGAACCAGUCGUAUUCGACUCCUGAAGUUAUGAGAUGCAUUCAGAUUGGGCUCUUGUGCGUUCAAGAAUACCCAACAGACCGGCCAACCAUGCUAGAUGUUGUGUUCAUGUUGGGGAAUGAAACUACUCUUCCACGUCCGAAAAAGGCAGCAUUUAGCUUGAAAAACAGUGGUCCGGAUUGUUCAACGUCUAAAGAAGCUCCUUCUGUAAAUGAUGUAACAGUAGCAGUUAUUGAAGCUCGUUGAGUUUGCACUUUGCCAGUUCUUGUAGAGAUUUUGUGUUACUUCUCAAGUAUUUGUACUCAAAUCGAGAUUCCUUGUGUAGAGAAGGCAAUGCCUUUGAAAUUGUCGAUUCAUCUCUGGACGGAUCGUACCCUAUCAACGAAGUUGUGAGAUGUAUCUAAAUUGCCCUCUUAUGUGUGCAAGAGUAUUUUGGAUAUUAUACUUUAAUCCAACGGCUAAUAGGUCACUAUAGUUAUGGAAUGUAAGUAGGAUUAGAGUUUAACUUGGACUCCAAGUAAAGAUAAUAUUCCGGUUAUUCUUGAAGAAUAAGAGUUCUUGAUACUAUCCUAUUUGGAUUGAGGUUUGGUAGAUUAUUUGUUUGUACAAUAAGGCAUCCUAAUGACAUCAGAACAGAAUCCUAAUGACAUCAUUAUGGGAUUAUGCAUUCAGUUUUUUUUUUUUUUUUUUUGAAUAAACAAUAUUAUUUACACUAAGAGGUUGGGAGUAGGGUAAGCCUCAAAAUGGGGUUCAAAUUCACCUUUGACAAUAAUCAAACCUUAAACCUCUCAAUUACCAGUGAAGAUCGGAAUAUUACUAAACCGUAGUAAGUGACGAGAGAAUGCAUUAGGGUUAAGUUAGUAUAAAUGCUAAACAUAGGUCCCUGCACAUACCUCUGAAACACAACUCAAAAGAAUUCCCCAUAGGUUUGAGGUAUACUGACACGCCCCAACCCAAAUAUCCUAAUGAUACCUGCAUGGCACGUGCUGACCGACACUCGGAAGUGACGAAAGCCAUAAUUCCAUACAAGCACAAGAAAAUAUCAGCACCUGAAGAUCAAAAAUAAUAAACAAUAACAAGAUCCUGAAUUAAACAUAAGGGUAUCGGAAAGUUCAAUGAUCAUAGAUUCGAAACAAAAGAAAUACAAAUAUGUCCAGAGCAUACUACUACACGGAACUACAAGUGCAAAUAAGAAUUCAGAUUACAAUUCAGCAAGAAAAUCAUACCCAAAUGGAAGAGCUCAAAGUCACUGGUAGGGAAAUACCUCGACACUCGGGUCGUACUCCUCGUCACAAGGUCCUAAGUGGGCACAAAACAGAAAAGGUGAGUGGACCAUAGUUAUAUUUAUACUAAUACUAUUCAAACCCAAAUUCUUUCUUAACAUAAUAACCCCCUGCUUUGAAAACAGAUAUAAUACUACGUAUAGGUUUUUCUAAAACUCUAGCAUGCUAGAAAAGUUUGUAACCAUAAAAUCAUCUCUAAAACAUGCAUCUCGAAAUGCCCGAAGGCAAAACCAUAAAUCCCAUCAAAGUUGUAUUCUCUAGGGGUAUCAUAGUCGCCCGAAGGCAGUACCUGUCCAUCGUCCGAAAGCGAAGCUGUACGACACUGGGUUACGUCAGUCAAGAAACAUGGUAGGCCCCAUCACCCGAAGGUGAAGCUAUACUACUCCGGGUUACGCUGGAGAAUAAACUCUAUAACAUCUCACAUUGACACUAGUUGUGACUAGUGAAGCUGUCCGACACUGCUUUUGGCAAUGAAACUAGGGGUAUAACAUAUAUCCCACUCCUCCUCAUCACAGUGUCCUAUGACCAUAGACAUCUAAUACCCGUGUUGUGUGGAUGUGUUGUAUGAUAACUCACUAGAUAUAUAUACCCAAAAUAUAACUCAAAUCUCAAAGCUCAAGUCAACAACUCAAAUCAUUCUCAUAAACCACAAAUCCAUAAUAUAUCAUAAAUCCGCAAUAUCUCAUAAGGCAUAAAAGAAAUAGUCGUAAACCUUUUCUAAGUGUGAAAUCAAUAGUUAUAACAUUUCAUAAAAUGUAAUUUAAAUAAAUCAUAAUAUAGAAAUUCGUAAAGCAAAGUAUAAUAUAAAACGUAUUCAAAUCAGGUAAUAUGAAUUUGCAUGCUAGAUGGUUAAUUAUAAAAUAUACAUUUGAUAAGGGGUCCACUCACAAGUACUCCGCUCUCGGGGAGCUGCUCGAAUUAGGGAGAACUGGAUCAUCUUCCAUCGGUGCACCUAUACACAAAAUAGAGACUAUUUAAUAAAACGCUAAAGCGAUUGAAUUUGUGAAAACGGAGUGUAGAUUUGGAAUCAGAAUGUCGAAAUUAGUCUAGAAGGGUCCCGAUCGAAAAACUCGAAAAAGUCGACGGUCAACGUUGACCAUAAAGUCAACGGUCAAUGGGUCACAGUCAACGGGUCAAAUGGGUUGGACAUGUUUGGUUGGGUUGGGCCGAGGGUCUUUGGGCCGGGUUAAGUAAAAGGACUUGGGCCUAUUUUAAUUUUAAGUUUUGGGCUUAUGCUAUGAAAUAAAAGGGCGGGCUUAGCCCGUUGUGGGCUAAAUCAUUUGGGCUCUGGGCUGAGUUGGCAUGCGGGUUGGGACGACACGAGUUACUCGUGGGUCACCGGACCCAUCGAAAGAGAACACCGGCUUUUUGGCCGGAAAUUCUCCCAACUUCGAUCUGGGGUUAAACUUGCUGAAAAAUCACAAUUCAAACAUUAAACAAUGAUGCUGGAACCUGUCGGGUCAGAAUUGGCUUGACCGUGUCAGAAUUGGCCGGGAUUCGUCACGAAACCCGUCGGGUUUCCUCGCCGGAUUCUGGAAAAAGGAAACAGAGUGCAUGCAUAAUAAAUCUCAAUGAUCUUCCACCAAAAUUCACAUGCAACAAGGUAUCUAGUGACCUAGGGUCGUGUCCAAUUGAUUUCGAUUGUCAACACCCUCAAAAUCGCCGGAAAAAACCACGGGUUCACCGUCGACAUCUGAGACCAAAAGAGUAGGUGCAUGCAGAGAGUUAAACCCCAGAUUUUUCCACAUAAUACUCGUCUAGAUGGAUUAGAAACCAACACAACCAAGAAGGAAAAAUAGUUCAUACCUGCGAUGACAAUUCAAGAGAGUUCAAGCUCUCAGUGUCAAUGGCAGAGUACGUAAAAGUGCACAGAUGCCACAUGCAACCUUACAGGUGAGUUCCCUAGGUCCUAAAGAUUCGAAGUUCAAGUUUCUAGAAGUUGGUUUGGUCCUUCUCGGAUAUAGAGAGUGAAUGCAGAAAAGAAUUAGGAAGAAGAGAGAGUGUUCAGAUAGUGGGGGAUCACGGGAGAGGGAAGGAAUAAUGGGUUGGGUUUUGGGCUUGUCACAGCCCAAAGAACUGGACCAAUUUGAUAAAACCCAACACAUGGGCAAAUUCGUAAUUUUACACUUAAAUUUUUACGGUGGGUUGUUACUAGGGAUGGGCAAAAUACCUAUGGGUUUGGGUAACCACGGUUAUCCGUCCAUUUAAAGCUCACGGUUAUGGUUAUGGGUAACUGUUUGGAUGAAUAAACGGUUAUGGGCAUAACUGUUUAUCCGUGAAAUUUAAAUGGGCGAUUAUGGGUAUUACCCACGGUUAUAACGGGUAUCCAUCAGUUAUGGUUAUUACCCGCGGUUAUAACGGAUAUCCAUUUACCCAUUUAAUUUAAUAUAUGUAAAAUUAAAAAAAAAAGUAAAAACCCUAAAUUUUCAAUCUUUUCAUGAAACUCAGAGUCUUAAACGCCCCGUCCCCGCUCAUCUCUCCCUCCUUGCUGCCCUCUCUCUCAUCUCCGAACCGAUCCCAAAAGUUUCGGCUUGCGAUUCGGCCACAUCUUUAAAAGUGUUCGGUAAUCCCGAACCAACCGAAUAUUUUAUAUAUAUAUAUAUAUAUAUAUAUAACAUAGGCAUAUAUAAAAUUAGAAGGCAUACAUGAUACUGAAGCAGAAAACUAUAUAUUAUAUAUAUGUAACAUAGGCAUAUAUAAAAUUAGAAGACAUACAUGAUACUGAAGCAGUAAACAAAAUGUUAAAAGGGAUUUCGGGUUUAAUACAGCUCUUCCAAGCAACUCUGCCCUCUCUCUCGCUUAUGUCGCCCUCUUCUGAUUCCUCACAUUGUACGAUUCAUACCUAUCAAAACUAUCUUUCAAAGACUGAGACUAUAACGGUGUUUAAUUGUCAGAAAAUAAAAAUUAUGACAAAUUUUUCUUUUAUAAUUUUCAAGUUGUUAAAAAAAAAACAUGUAGAGGGUGAAAAAAGGGUAAAUGGGUGAAAAAGGAUAAACGGGUUCAAAAAUAGGUAAACAGGUAAACGGUUAUGGUUAAAUAGGUAAACGGUUAUGGGUAUGGUUAAUUGUUUAUAAACGGUUAUGAGUAUGAGUAUAAUCGUUUAUGUAAUUACCCAACAGGUAAACGAUUAUGGGGGUAUGAAUAUAAACGGUUAUGGGUAAAUAACCGCGGUUACCCGCCCGCCAUAACCGUUGCCCAUCCUUAGUUGUUACCUAUACAAUGGUGGUGAGUGUGCAAAAGGCCUUGCUUGUGUUCUUAGUGUGUUCGUGUGCUUGCUGCAGUUCGUGGCUUGCUCUGCUGUCGAAAAUGGUUUCUCCAGGCUAGUAUUUUCAUGCUGUUUUUAUUCACAUGCACAUAUUAGGAUUUACAGAGUAUGCAACUGAGCGAGCGGCCAACAAUGUCGGCUGUCAUUUUCAUGCUAUGUAAUGAAGCAGUAGCUUCUUCAAUAAAACAACCAGCAUUUUUAUUAGAGUUGUAACAGUGGGGACCCAUCACCACAGUAUUGAAGGAGAUAAUUCUGUAAAUGAUGUGACUUGUAGUAGCGUAGAACCUCGCUAAACUUAAAACUCCUGAGAUAUUCCUAAACGUUGUAUGUUAAACUACUAUUGGUAGCAGCUUGUAAAAGGUUAUUAACCACAAAAAUUUUGCUUCUAAUAAGUAGUUCCAAUUUUCUUUCUAGUGCAUUGACAUGCGGGACGUCAGAAUUAUUGGUCUCGAUUGUGACGUAAUUGAAGAGAAAUUGUACUAGUCUACUUGGCUAGUUCUUUAAAUUAUGUGACAUGUACUAUUGUGGAGGCUUAGCUAACAUAAAAUUUGGCACAAAAUUGAGCUUAAUGAUGUUCUAAAAUUCAUACAGCGCCGACCUCAUUUAAUGAGAUAAGACUUUAUUGUUGUUGUUUGUACUAUGGAUGAUGCUUGAUUUCUAACAGCCUUGGAUUUGAAAUGUAAAUCCGUCCUCUACAUAUGACACAUUCACAUUUAUUAGAGUUUAAGAAUGAGAGAUUUGUGUUAAUCAAACUUCAUGUACAGGAAAGAAGAUGUUGAUCAGUGAUGCUUUAAUGCCAAAUAAAUAAUCCUAGGACUUUUCAAAUUGGUUUACCAUUAUUUAUUUUAUUACGGAUCGCUUUUACCAUAGUAUCCAUUACUAAAUUACUAAUCACAUCUUAGCAUUCAGGCCAGCCCUGAGGGUAGCCGAGGUAGGCCGCCUAGUGCCCCCAAGUUCGGGGGGCCCCCAAAUUUUUUUAUACAUCCUGCAUAUAAAAUAUAAAUAAAGAAAACGUAAGAAACACCACAAUUAUUUUGUUGGUGCAGUGGAAACGGUUCCACUCUGUUUUCAUUGAGGUGGGCAGUUCGAAACACCUUGUAGGUAUUAGUUUUUGCGUUUUUCAAAUCUAUGAAAUUAAAGAUUAAAAUUAAAGAUAAAUUGCUCUUUAAAAAUUGUAAAAUUACAAGAAUCAAAAGGAGUUAAAAUAAUUCAACAAAUAUUAAUUUUGAAUGAAUUUAAAAUUUUCAACUUUAGAAAAAAAAAAAAAAAAAACCUCAUGGUAGUGAGUGGUUUAUGUUUAAAUUCUUAUUUAUUUUCAAAAAUAUUUUAAAUAAAAAUUGUAUAAAUAGAAAAAACUUGAGUUUCUUAAAUAAAAAACAUACAAAGGCCAAUUGUAAGAAGCUAGUGAAAUUAAUGGCCUCAAUUUGUCCAAAUGCAUUUUUUUUUCUUUUGCUUUUGAAAAUAACCUAAAAAAAAUAACAAAAACCAGAAUAAUCAUAACUUUGUAAUCCUUUUUCUUUCAACUUUCCAGUCUUUCUAUUUCUGUUGAAUGUUUAAGCAACUAUCACUUGGUCCUGAAGAUUGUAAUUUGAGGUAACCAUAACUUUGAAUUUAAAUUUUCUUUUUCAAUAAUUUAUUGUUAAACUAGGUUAUUCUAAAAUUUGAUUUGCUAGUGUGUGUUGAUUUUAGAAAGAACACAAGAGAACCACUAGGCGUUGUUGAAUUAUUAUAUUCGUCAAUCAAGUUUUAUUGUUUUUUACUCUCUUGAUCAUCAAGUUUUAUUGCUCUUCACUCUCAAUCUUAGUGCAUUUGCGUCUAAAGACAUGUGACAUGGAAUAUUAAGUAAUGUUAGUAUAUAUUUUUUUUUUCUUUUGAUAUUAAUUUAUAAUGAUAUUGGAUAAGCUCAUAUUUAUAUAUAUUUUACAUCAAAUUCACUUGUCUUUUCUUAGUUAGUUCCUUAUAUUUUUGAGCUAUUUACAUUGUUUUUGUGUUUUGUGGGAUUUGUCAAGCCAAGAAAAGAAAAAUAGCACAAAUAGGAUUUUUAGUAACAAAUUCGUCAAAACUGCCUGUGCAGAUCAGCUGACUUUGGAAGCAAGUUGCGAACAGCUCAGAAUGAAUUAGAGAAUGAGCCUUAUAUGCUUGGAAAUCUACGGAUGUCUAUUUUCUGGAGCAUUUCGCAGAUUGUUAAUAUCAUUUUUGUAGAAGAAGUUAUGGCCAUUUUAACACUAAAAGGUUCACAAGAGACUGAGCAGUUUGUAACUACAAUGAAAGCAAUAAACCCAAUAAGUCUAACAUCCAAAACUGAUGCAGCCAAGAACAAGUCAGCUGAUACCUAUUCAAAUAUCAGGGGAAAUGGAAAUAAAGAUGAGAAUUAAGUGGGAGUAAUGGGCAUAAAGGCUACCCAAAGAGUUACAAUUGUUUUACCAUUUCCUCUCACUUAUGGUCAUCACUAAAUGAUUGUUAGUGGGGUGAGUGAUGGAAAACAAAACUGGGAUAUCAAGCAAGAACAAAAAGGUGCAGGUUGCAGCUGCAAAGUGGGGGGGGGGGAAUAGGAGAAGAAAAAAGAAAAGAAAAGAAAGAGGACAAGGCAGCAGUGUUGGGGAAGGAAAGGAAGGAGGAAAUCUUGACAUUCUCUUCUCUCGGUUUUAUCUUCUCAAACUCAUGUCUUUCUUUUGGUUUUAUUUGAUAAUAAUGUGUAACUAAAUUCUUAGUAGUUAGGGGCUGUUUUGAAGCCCCAAAUAUGAUUACAAGUUUGUUAUGACAUUUUGUUUGAAUUACUUUUAUGAAUGGAUGAAAAUUGAUUCACUACUUGUCUCAUUGAUGAAUUAUUUAUGUGUUUUCUACGGAUGCAUACUUAGUAAGCAUAUCUAGGAUUCUAAAGCUAUGAAUAUGUAUGUGCCUGCCCUUGUCGAAUGAGAACCUACAUAUGUUCUAGAGUAGUACUUGUCAAUUGCGAUUAACAUGUGAACUAAUUUCUAGGAUAAGUAAGACAACGUCAGUACUUACGAUGCCAUUCUAGAUUGCAUGCUAGGGACUAAGUUAAGUUGAAAACGUCAUUCUCUUAACAUACUACAUAAGAAAGAGUAAUUUCGUAGAAUUUAGGUAAGUGUAAGUUGGUCUAAUAAUUAUUUUUCGGUGGCUGGUCAGUAGGGACAGCAACUAGUUUACCCUUAUUUUCAUAUGCUACAAUUGACAAAUCUUAGUGUUAAUGAGGAAAAUCAAUAAGACAUUUGUGUGCUAUUUUAUGGUGUGCUUUUAAUCCUAUCAAUAUUCGAUGAAGAAAUAUACUUUUUAUGUAAUUAGCGAAUUCUUCUUACUACAUACCAAUAUACAAAGAGUCGGAGGUCCGAGAACUUUAGGGCCCCACUUUGAAGACUCGCCUAGGGCCCCCAAAUUCUCAGGGCCGGCCCUGCUAGCAUCUUACCACCUUCUAGCACAUUUAUUAGGUGUUAGAUUUUAUCACAAAAAUUAAAAACAAAACCAUUCAUUGUAUUUUGUAAUUUAUUUUACCAAUUUUUCGACAUGAGAUAUUUUUGCAUUCUUCAACAGCGUGCACAUCUCUCAACCUAGUCGCUACGGGUAGCACUUAAACUCCUCAAUGAGAAAGCUAACCAUGAAUCCUACUAAUUUUUUUUGUCAAUAUUGUGUUGCUCAUCUUCCUUGUGAUUCUUCCCUCUUCCAUUUCGGCUGCUCUAGACGCCAUUACACCAAACCAACCCCUAAGAGAGGGCGACGUUCUUCUCUCCACCACUAAAAUCUUUGCACUAGGGUUUUUUAAAGCCAAGCAAUUCUCAUAACCGUUACGUCGGAGUUUGGUAAAACAAAAUUCCAAUCAAAACUGUUGUCUAGGUUGCAAACAGAGAAAACCCCAUAAUUCCCCUAUUGCUGGAACUGGACGCGCCCUAUAUUAGAAAAGUAUUCUCAUUGAAUGAAUAAUUAGAGUACAUUUGGUAUUUAUACAAAGAGCUAUAUUUGACAGCUCAUCAAAACUAACCUAUAACUAUCUAAUAACAAACUAACUUUCCAAUGACUAAUUACAACAGAAAUCACUAACUAUCCAAUGACUAAUUACAACAAAAUCAAGAUAAACAAUUAUCCUUAAUAUGCCCCCUCAAACUGAACUUGGGCAACCGAAGUGAUAGUUUGUCUUAAGCAACAGAAAACGAGACUUGGACAGAGAUUUAGUACAUAUAUCUGCAAUUUGAUCAUGUGAACAUACAAACUGAACAGUUACAGCUUUAGAGAGAACUUUUUCCCUGAUAAAAUGAUAGUCAAUCUCCACAUGUUUAGUCCUUGCAUGAAAUAAAGGAUUUUUUGCUAAGGAAAUCGCAGAAAUGUUAUCACACCACAAUUUUGGUGGAUAUGGAAGAGAUAGACCAACAUCAACAAGCAAUUUACAAAGCCAUGAAAGCUUAGCAGCAGUGUUAGCAAGAGAUCGAUACUCUGCUUCAGUGGAUGAGCGAGCCACUGUUGGUUGCUUUUUAGCACUCCAACUAAUAAGAGAGUUUCCAAGAAAUAUGCAAUAACCUCCAGUUGAUCUUCGGUCCAAGGCUUACCCUGCCCAAUCAUCAUCUGAAAAGGCAUUUGUAAUGAGUGAAGAUGAUGUUUUUGGAAACCAUAGUCCCAAAUCAAGAGUGCCCUUCAAGUAUCUCAAUAUUCUUUUAACUGCCUGCAAGUGAGACUGUCUGGGUUGAUGCAUAAGCUGACAGACCAAGUUAACAGCAAAGGAUAGAUCAGGUCGAGACCAAGUAAGGUAUUGUAACCUUCCUACAAUUGAUUUGUACUCAUCUGGAUGAGAGAGCAAUGGAGAAGAGUGGUCAAGUUUUGAUGUACUGAGAGGUGUUGCACAUGGUUUUGCACCAGCCAUGUUGGUCUUGGUAAGUAGAUCAAGAAUAUACUUGGGUUGUGAGAUAAAAAUACCAGAUAAUGACCUUUUAACCUCAAUUCCAAGAAAGAAAUGAAGAGGACCCAAGUCCUUGAUUGGAAAUAGAGAACUCAGUUGAGCUAUUGUGUCUUUGCAAGCCUGUGAAGAGGGACCCGUGACCAAGAUGUCAUCAAUAUAGACUAGGAUAAAAACCAGAGAAGGUUCAUUCUUGACAAAAAGAGAAUGAUCAUUAUGUUAUCCAUGAAAUCUCAUUGAUUUAAGUGCACCAUGAAGCCUCUCAUACCAGGCGCGAGGAGCCUGCUUUAGUCCAUAAAGACUCUUGUGAAGUUUGCAAACAUAGUGGGGCUUUGUAGGAUCUUGAAAACCAUAUGGUUGCUGCAUAAACACAUUCUCAGAUAGAUUACCAUGUAAAAAGGCAUUACUAACAUCAAACUGAUUGAGAAACUAAUCAUACUGAGAUGCUAGUGUGAGAAGAAGCCUGAUGGUUACUGGUUUAGCCACAUGGUUGAAUGUUUCUGUAUAAUCUAAACCCUCAUGUUAAUGAAAACCCUUGGCUACUAAACGAGCCUUGUAUCUGUCAAUAGUGCCAUCAGCUUUCCUUUUAAUACGGAACACUCAUUUACAACCAACAUGAUUAUGAGAAGGAUGUGGGGGAACAAGAAACCAAGUGCCUAUGUGAACCAGGACAUUAAAUUCCUCUUGCAUAUCUUGUCUCCAGUGAGGAUGUUUUGAAGCUUGGAGAUAAGUAGCAGGAAGAUUAUCUGCAGAAAUUUGGGAAGGAAGAGGGUGUUUGGUAGCUGAAUAGGCUUUUGGUUUAAAAAUGUUGGAUUUUGAUCUUGUUUGCAUAGGAUGAGUGUUUAAAGGUGGGGUUGGUGAUAUGUGUGAGGAAUGAGGAGAGACAGGGUGAGGAGAAUGAGGGAGAGGAGGUGAAAAAGUUGAAGUAGAAAAAGGUGCAUAUUGAUUUAGGUUGAUUACAAGUUGCAUAGGAUAAGAUGCUGCAGGGAAUUUGGUGAAGGUAAGAGUUGAAGGUAUGGGAGAGGAAAAGAUUGAGGCUGAGGAUGAAGAAGAUGAAACUGGAGAAACUUGAUGAAAUGGGAAAGUCAGCUCAUCAAAGAUGACAUGCCUUGAAAUAUAAAUCUUGUUGGAUUGAAGAUCAAGACAUCUAUAGCCAUUGUGAUUGAGACUAAAGCCAAGAAAGACACAGGGCUUGCUUUUGGGUUCAAGUUUGGAAGCUACAUAAGGUUUUAGCCAAGGAAAACACCUGCACCCAAACACUUUACGUGUUGUAUAAUCUGGAGGCUUGCUGAAAAGUUGUUCCCAAGGACAGGAUCUAGACAUAGUAGGCAACCUGUUUAUGAGAUAAAAUGCUGUGGAGAAUGCUUCAACCUAGUAAACAUGAGGAACAUGAGAAGCAGCUAAAAGUGUGCGAGCAACUUAUACUAAAUGUCUAUGCUUGCGCUCCACACAGUCAUUUUGUUUUGGUGUGUGAGGGCAUGAGAGUUGAUGAUGAAUGCCAUUGUCUUUAAGAUAUUGAAUAAACACGGAACUAAGAAAUUCACCAUCAGAGUUAGAUCGUAAAGUGACAACUUUAGUAUUUAACAAAGAUUCGACAAGAACUUUGAAUUCAACAAAGGUUUUAAAGACCUCAGAUUUACAUUUGAUCGGAAAGAACCAGUUAUAUCGACUGAAAUCAUCCACUAUAAAAAGAUAAAACCGAUAACCAGAUACAGAGAGAAAUGGAGCUGGACCCCAAACAUCUGCAUGUAAAAGUUCCAAAGGUCUAGUGGUAACACUAGAAGCUGAUACAAAUGGCAGUUUUGAACUUUUACCCAAUGCACAAUUUGAACAGAAGGUUUUAUUCAUAAUAGUAGUGAGAGGAAUACUAGACUUAGACACAAGUUUAUGUAAAACUUUGAAAGAGAGAUGACCCAAUCUUUGACGCCAAAUCUCUGGAGAAGCUUUGAUAGUAGCUGCAAAAUCUUAUGUGAACCAUCAUUGACAGAUGUAAUGAAUGGAUAAAAUCCAUUUUGCACAGGUCCUUUAAAAAGCGUCCUCUUCGAAAUAUGAUCCUUCACAGCGAAGUGAAAAUGAUAUAGGCGAAUUGAACACCAAUUAUCAAGUGUAAAUUUAUUUGCAGAGAGUAAAUCUUGCUUCAAAUCAGGCACAUGUAACACAUCAUGCAAAUCAAAACGAUGAUGAGGAGUAGAUAUAGAGGUAGAACCAGAAUUAGAUAUAGGCAAACCUUCACCAAUGUAGACUUGUUCAGGGCCGGUGUAUGGUGCUGGAUUUUGAAGAUUCGCCAGAGAACUUGUCAUAUGUGAGCUAGCUUCUGAAUCAAGAAGCCAGGAAUGAGAAGUACUCUGUGAAGGAUUAGCACACAUAGCCAUCUAAGAAUGUCGAUUGCCAAACUGAGGAUUCAUACAAUGAGGGCAAUCAUAGGCUUCAUGAUUAUACUGACGACAUAUUUGACAAGUUGAUAUUCUGCCACUGAAAUUAAAGCCCGAGCGACCUCCACAAUUGUUCCUCUGAGUAUAGCGAGAGUAAUUUGGACGCUGACUGUUACCACAAUAACCGGAGAAAUUGCCCUUAUUUUGAGAAUUCCUAGGGUUAGACAAAAUGCGAGCUUGAGAACAACCUUGAUACUGAUUAAACUAAGAUGAAUUCUGAGCAAGAAAGGCCUGAGAGCCAGUAUUGGAAGUCGGUGUAGGAAGAAUGCCAGAGGAUAAUGCAAGAUUCGAAUUGAGGCCUGAAAAACGCCAGAGGAUGUAGUAGCUUUCUUGCGAGUGGUAAGCUGAAUUUCUUUACUUAGAAGUAAGCCAUGUAACUCAUCAAGUGUUGUAGAGCCAAGACGGAAUUGGAUCGCAUCAACAAAGGAAUCAUACUCCGGCGGCAGGCUAUGAAGAGUUAUAGAAAUCAGAUCAGAGUCUUCAGUCGGAGCUUCGGCGCUGGCAAGAGCAUCAGCAAUGUCUUCAAUUUGUUGAAGAUAAGCAAAGGCGGUGGAAUCACCUUUUGAAAUAUUAUGAAGACGAGAUCGGAGUUCAUGAAUAUGUGAUUGAGAAGCUGCUGCAAGGCACGAUUCAAGCUUAGACCAUAGCUCUCGAGAGGAAUUUACACCCAUAGUAUAGGGAAUUAGGGAUUCAGAAAGUGUAGAGUUGAUCCAUAUGAGAAUAUUUUGAUCAUUCGCAUACCAAGAAACAUAGUCAGGGUUGAAAUUGCGAUUACCGGAAGAAUCAAGAAGAAAUUGAGGCGGUGCCGCCAUAGAUCCAUCAAUGAGACCGGUAAGAUUGUAGCGACGGAAGAUUGGGGCAAAGAGAGCACUCCAGGUCAAGUAAUUUGUAGUGGUGAGCUUGAUUGGCACCAUAGAUCCGAUGUUUUGGAUCAUAAUGGAGGUAGAAGAGAAGAAUUAGGGUUUGAGGAAGAAGUCGGAAUGGGAUGAACAUGUGUAGCCGAUUCCGACGAAGGAUACGCCAUGGCUGAAUUGAUGAGAGAAACUUGAAGAGAUCAAACGCGAUCGAGAAAUCGAUCAGAGAAUCAGAGAAUCAGAAAAGAGAAAAAUUGUAGGGAGAAGCGAGAAGGAUUGGAUCGAAGAGGGAGAAGUCAAAAGACAAAGGCAGGUGAUACCAUAUUAGAAAAGUAUUCUCAUUGAAUGAAUAAUUAUAGUACAUUUGGUAUUUAUACAGAGAGCUAUAUUUGAUAGCUCAUCAAAACUAACCUAUAACUAUCCAAUACCAAACUAACUGUCCAAUGACUAAUUACAACAUAAAUCACUAACUAUCCAAUGACUAAUUACAACAAAAUCAAGAUAAACAACUAUCCUUAAUACCCUAGCCAUUCAUGGAGAUCAUGGUGGCCUUGUCAUAUAUGGGGAGGACCAAAAUACCCCUUUCUGGUCCGCUAAUGUCACCGUCUCUUCUCCAAACAAAUUCGUGGUAGCCAAGCUUUUGGAUACGGGCUGGACAGGCAGUCCGGGCUAAACCGGUUCCCCACAUCUUGGAAGUCCCAAAAUGACCCGGGAACGGGCAACUGUUAGUACCGGAUAGAGUCAAGUGAGAGUCCACAGCAGUUCUUAUGCAAGGGUCAGACUCCAUUAUGGGGGGCAGUGGCGAAGCUACGUGAGGACGAGGAGUGGCAGCCGCCCCUCCCCUCGCCGGAAAUCAAGCACAGGAGCGGCGAUUCCGCCCCUCCGAUCUCGUCGGAAGUGAUGAAAUUCCGUUUGGUUUUCUGGCCUUUUGGGUUUCCCUGUUCUAUCACAGCACAGGCUGAUCACGGGCUCUCUUUUUUUUUCCAAAAAAAAAAACCUAGGCCAAAGAAAUGAGGAAUGAAGAUCUGCAUUUAGCAGCUUCUGGAUAUUGGAAAUGUUCUGGUUUGGUUCUAACGAAGAAGAGGAGAAAGGAAGAAGAGAGAGACUCUCUCUCUCCCAUCCCACCCCACGUGACCUUUACAAUUUGUUUUUUUUUUAAAUAUUGGCCAACCAAUAUGCGCCACCUAACCUGCUUUUGUUGAUUUAUAUUGGAAUUUAUUUUAUUUUUUAAUUAUUGUCCAAUUAAUUUGACCAAUCUUUCAAUAUUUAUUAAACCACUUGUUUGACACUGUUAUUUAUCUUAAAAUUCACUAUAAUUUAUACGAGCUUCAAAAAAUAAUUUGUAAAAUAUUAAAAACUUGUAAUUAUGUUUUUUCUUCUCUUACCAUCAAAUUCAACAAAGUAAUGAAGAAAAUUUGUCAAUAUUUUUAUAUAUUAUAUGUUUUAUAAUCAAUGUUUUUUGGAUAUUACAAACUAUAUAAUAAAUAGACAAUUAUUUAUACGGUGUAUAAUAAAUUUAUUCAAAUUUGCCUAGGUCCUUGCCGAAGUGUAAAGUCAUGUCCAUCGUCUGACUAGAGCUUAACAUCUUUUAAAACUUUGCUAAUUAUACAGUUAAGUAAUAGGACGAUACAACGAGAAACGGUGCUAAAUCAUCCUUCAAAUAAUAUUGUUUUUCAAACCCUCCUUCGACUAUUUUGAGUAGUCCAAAUCCUCUUUUGAAUAUUUCGGUUAGUGCAAAUUCUCCUAUGAAUAUUACGGGUGGUUCAAAUAAUCUUCUUGCAAAUGCAAGACUUACACCUCGAAUGAAUGUUCACAUUUUUCGGGACCCUAAAUUUUUUAAAUUUCGCCCCUCCCCCCAAGAAUUCCUGGCUUCGCCACUGGUGGGGGGCUGGAUCUUGGACCAGUGAAAGAUGGUCCAGGGUGCCUGCAAUGACGAAAAUUUUCAUCUUCAACGCUACUUUUGUGAACAAUCAAGAUGAGGUAUCCGUCAUGUAUGGUAUUGUUGAUGAAUCAAUCUUCUCAAAAUUGGUGAUCGAUGAAUCAGGAAUCCUUGAACGGACCAAAUGGCAAGAUCAAGCGCAUCAAUGGGUCAAGUUUUGGUCCGCCCCGGUUAAGCAAUGUGAUUUUUACUGGAAGUGUGAUUUUUACAUUGCGGAUAAAUUUGAGUGCAAUUGCCUACCUGGAUUCGAACCCAAGUUGCAACAUGAGUGGUAUUUGAGAGAUGGGUCAGGCAGGUGAGUGAGGCAAAAAGGAUCAUCCGUUUGCCAAAACGGGGAAGGGUUUGUGAAGUUGGAACGUGUGAAGGUGCCGAACGCUUCUAUGACACGGGAGAGCAUGAGUAUGAGUCUGAAAGCAUGUGAAGAAGAAUGCCUGAGAAAUUGUUCUUGCAUGGCAUACGCAAUUGCAGAUGAAGGGCAGGGAGGGAGUGGGUGUAUAACAUGGCAUGGGGACUCGAUGGACACAAGGACUUAUUCGGAUACGGGUCUAGAUUUAUAUGUGCAAGUUGAUGCAAUUGUUUUAGGUAUAUUUUCAUUAUCAAUUUAUCUUCUUUCUUUCUUUACAUUAUCAAUAAUUUUCCUCGUACCGUCGACGUUCCAUGAAAAAAAAACUCUUCUUUCUUUUAUUUCAUAAAAUAUUUGAGGAAUUAUUAUUUAGUUUGGGAGCCGUACGUUUGUUAACGUUCUAAAGAAAUCAUUUGGCACGGGUCUCUUGACAAAUAAUAAAAGUGAAAUUGUUUCAUUAAGAGUGUAAGAUGAUUUUUUUGGAGUACUCAUAAAUUUUGGAAAUUAAUAUAAGUUCUCACGCUAAAAAUUGAGUUUCAUACAUCUGUUAAAAUUGUUAUUAAAUCAACCGUUAACUGGUGACGUGAUGCUUACGUGGAUAAUAAUUAAGCGCCACGUGUCAAUGGGCCCACGUGGACAUUAAAAAUAAAAAAAAUUCAAGGCUUCUCCUACCUCACCCCCUCCGUCUCUUCUCCCUUCUCCCACCUCUGCACCGACCCUUCCGCACACCAACCUUCAAUUCCUCUUCAAUUCUACGCUCUCCCUCUCUCUGUGACAAAAAAAGAAAAUUUUAACUCUUUUUUUUUCUGGGCGUCUCCUACCUCACCCCGCGCGUCCCCCCCCCCCUCCCCCCGGCGCGCCUACUCCCGUGAACUCGCCUCCUCCUUCGGGAUCACGUUCUGAUAAAAAAAAUUUAAGGAACCUAGCCCUCGGAAACCCUCCUUCAGCAAAUUCGAAGAACCAAAUCCCCGAGGGACCUGAUUUCGACCAACAACCGAAAGUGGGUGUGCCCAGGAGCGACGACUGAGGGGAUUUGCUAAGGUGGUUGUGCCCAGGAGCAACGACAGUGAAUCGGCGGCAGGAAGGUUGAAUUGAAAGGUGGGAGUUGUCUUAAUAGCGCCAUAUCACCAGUUUGUAAGAAACCUAAUUGGACUAAAUUAAAUUGUAUAAGAAAGAAAUGCAUUUGCCAAUUGUACAAACUGGUGGGAGUUGUAAACGUGCAAAACUGCUUACUAUAAUCAAGGAAUAUGUGGUGAUUCUGAUCAGGAAACAACUUGCAAUCUGAAACUGCAAAUAACUGUAAAGAACCAACGGUCCACGAUAGAUGGAAGUUGGCAAAGGUUAUACUUAUAAAAGGACUCCCUGCUCACAAAGAAAACGUUCUGUAAUUAGGGUUCUAUCACCAUUGGAACAUAAGGUCUUGAGUGAGUAGAAGAAUUCUUGAGUGUGUUAACAGUAACCAUGGCUGCACUAGGUAAGUCUUUCUUAUCUAAUUUCAAAUUGUGACCUAGUAUGCAUGCUAAUAACUAAGGUUUUUCCAACAUUUGGUAUCAAAGCUAUGUUAGCAAGCCCCUAGGUCGGAUGAAUUAAUAAAAAAUCCUAAUGCUUUAAGAAUGUACAAAAUUUGUAUGGUGAUUGCUGCAGUUUAUUUUUAUCGUGGGCACUAUAAUUCUUCCACUAAUAUGUAUUUCUCUUCUCUGUGUUUGUGUUGGUUGGUGGAGUUGGGUUUUUUGGAUCUUUUGAAUUGGAGCUUCAAAUUCCAUCGUGCAUGUGUGGUUCAAGCAUGUUGCCCAAUCUGAAAUUCUCACUCUCUCAAUCGGCUGGAUGGUGUCUUGGUUUUGUUGAUGCUUGGUUGAAGGAACAGAUAAUCAUGCUAUUUUAACCAUUGGACAAAUGUUUAUUAAAUCUUCACCAAAGUGGGAUUUUAUGGAAAUUUUGGUCUGGGACAGGAAGCAUGGAGUGAUUCAAUUUCCAAGGCUUUAACUCUUGUUGACGACGAAACCAAGCAAAGAUCGCAGGGCCUCAAGAAGAUCUUACUGGCCUCGGUCUUGGCCAUGGUGGCGGAGACGACGUUUCCGGUAGACAUUACGAAGACUUCCAUUUUGCUGCGAUAAUGACUGCUCCAAUGAUCAUGGAUUCAAUUGGGGGAAAUGCCGAAAAUGGCAAACUCCUUUCUCGAGGAGGUGCUGGACCAUGUGUUCUCAUUCAUAUAGACGAACCAGGACCGGAACUUGAUUUCGGUAGUGUGUGCAAGUUGUGGUACGAGAUCAAACUAUGGUGCUGGCGGCGUGCAAAACUGCUUCCUAUAAUCAAGGAAUAUGUGGUGAUUGUGAUCAGGAAACAACUUGCAAUCUGAAACUGCAAAUAACUGUAAAGAACCAACACUCCACGACAGAUGGAAGUUGGCAAAGGUUAUACUUAUAAAAGGACUCUGCUCACAAAGAAAACAUUCUGUAAUUAGGGUUCUAUCACCAUUGGAACAUAAGGUCUUGAGUGAGUAGAAGAAUUCUUGAGUGUGUUAACAGUAACCAUGGCUGCACUAGGUAAGUCUUUCUUAUCUAAUUUCACAUCGUGACCUAGUAUGCAUGCUAAUAACUAAGGUUUUUCCUACACAGUUAACUGCUGAUUUAACAGCAAUAUUAACAUAUGUAUGAAACUGUCCCAAACUUAUGACUUCAGGUACCAUUCUGGGAUGAAAAAAACUUCAUGUACCAAAUGUUGAAAAUCAAGAAACUUCAGAGUAGUAAAUUGAGAUUAACCUUUGUUAAAAAUUAUAAUCCUCUUAUCUGUACGGUGAUUUAUACAAAACACUGUACAAAUGGUGAUUUUUACAUAAAACUAUAUUAUAGUGAUUUCUACAUAAAAUUAUAUCAAAAAUAUUUGAGAUGGUAGUCAAAUCUUAUGCAUAAAACUCUCUUAUGAUAGUGCAAAAGUUUUUACUGAUUAGAAAUAGUUCAAAAUUGUUUGAGUGCGGUAUUGGACUUGAAUUUUUUAAACUGACUCUAGCUCAUAUCUCAUAAGAAUCAAGCCAAGCCUACUUGCGAGCUCGAAAAAAUUAAUCAAGCCAAAUUUAAACACAAUAGUAUUCGGUUCGGCUUGACUAGUUUCCAAUCCUACAUUUAUUUAUUUAUUUGUUGAUAUUUGCUCUUUACUUCUUUUCUAUAAAAUUGUUUCUUGCAAAAGAAAAGCGUAUAAUGUUGACCCAGCAAUAGAAUUAUAAUGGUCUAGCAUAACUCUUGUAUAUUAUUAUAUGGUUUUUCAAACUAAAUAAGGGCUUUGUUAUGUGCUUUUUGUAGAAGCAUUUUAAGUGUUUUUUUUAAUAUUUACUUGCAUUUUUACAGAUCAUUGAUACCAAAGCACUCUUAUUAAAAGAACUUUCAAUUAUUUAAACACUUUUAAAUGAACCCUAAAAUACAGAAAAAAAUAAAAACAAAACAGCGUAAUAGGAUGAGCUUUUCGGUUAACAUGUACAUAAUUUAGUCUAUCCACUUUGGCAUUCUAAUGGCGGCACUAACAUAAUUUAGUCUAUCCACUUUGGUAACGUAAAGAAGUGGUAAACCACGAAUUUAAACUUUGGCAGAAGAAAGCAAAAGAGUUGAAUAAAUUAUUACUGGAUGGUUCAAUGAACCCAAAAAUAUCAGAUUUUGGCAUAGUAAGAAUGUUUGGGGAUGACCAAAUUGAAGCAAACACGAACAAAGUUGUUGGCACCUAGUAAUUGUCUCCUCUCCCUAUAAAAAAAAUAAAAUUAAGUAGAACCGAUAUAUAUAUAUAUAUACAUUUUUUUUGAUAUUGUGUGAUUGCAGCGGUUACAUGUCACCAUAGUAUGCUAUGGAUGGGUUAUAUUCCACAAAAUCCGAUGUGUUUAGCUUUGGAUGCUUGGCACUAGAGAUCAUUAGUGGAAGGAAGAACAGCUUCCAAUUCGAAAAGUCAUCUUUGAAUUUGGUUGGAAUAGUAAGUAAACAAAUAAUUUUUCAGACGAUGAAUCUAACUUUCGAGUAGUCCAAUGAUCUAAACAUUGUGCUCAAAAUUGUUUCAAAUAUGGGAUUUGUGGACAGAAGGAAAAGUUUUGGACAUAAUUGAUUCAUCACUGAAGCAGUCAUAUUCGACUCAUGAAGUUAUGAAAUACAUUCAGAUUGGGCUUUUGUGCGUGCAAGAGUACCUAACAGACCGGCCAACCAUGCUAGAUGUUGUGUUCAUGUUGGGGAAUGAAACGAUUCUUCCACAUCCGAAAAAGGCAACGUUUAGCUUGAAAAACAGUGGUCUGGAUUCUUCAAUUUGUAAAGGUUCUUCUUUUGUAAAUGAUGUAACAAUAAUAGUUAUUGAAGCUCGUUGAGUUCGCACUUUGCGGGCUCUUGUAGAGAUUUUGCAUUACUUCUCAAGUUUUUUUACUCAAAUCGAGAUUCCUUGUGGAGAGAAGAGGCAAUGCCUUUGAAAUUGUUGAUUCAUCUCUGGGCAAAUCGUACCCUGUCAACGAAGUUGUGAGAUGCAUCUAAAUUGCCCUGUUAUGGACUGUAAGUAGGAUUAGAGUUUAGUUAUAAGCUAUAACUUGGGUUCCAUGUAAAGAUAAUAUUCUAGUUAUUCUUGGAGAAUAAGAGCUCCUGAUAUUAUCCUAUUUUGAUUUAGAUUUGGUAGAUUAUUUCCUCGUACAAUAACGAGUCCUACUGACAUCAUUAUGGGAGGAUGAAUUAGGUUUUUUUUUUAACAAACGAUAUUAUCUACACUAAGGGGGUGGCAGAGUGGGCUAUGCCUCAUAAUAGGGUUCAAAUUUGCCUUUGGCGAGAAUCGAAUCUAAACCUCUCACUUACCAGUGAAGAAGAAUAUCAUUAGACUGUAGUACUAAGUGGCGGGAGGAUGCAUUAGGAUUGAGUUAGUAUAAAUACUAAACAUAAGUCCCUGCACAUACCACUAAAUAACAACCCAAAAGAAUUCCCCAGAGGUUUGAGUUAUACAAUGGUGGUGAGUGUGUAGGCGGCCUUGCUUGUGUUCUUAGUGUGCUCGUGUGCUUGCUGCAAUUCGUGGCUUGUUGUGCUAUUGAGAAUGGCUUCUCAAGGUUAGUGUUUUCAUGGCGUUUUGAUUCACAUGAACAUAUUAGGUUUAACAGAGUAUGCCACUGAGCUGCCAACAAUGUCGGUGGUUGUUUUCAUGCUAGGUAAUGAAGCAGCAGCUCCAUCACCAAAACAACCAGCAUUUUUAUUGGAGUUAUAUAUAACAAUGGAGACCCAUCACCACAAUACUGAAGGAUAAAAUUUUGUAAACGAUGUGAGAUGUAGUAGCGUAGAACCUCGCUAAAACUCUUAAGAUAUUCCGAAAUGCUGUAUGUUAAGCAACUAUUGGUAGCUUGUAAAAGGUUAUUAACCACAAAAAUUUUGCCUCAAAUAAGUAGGUUCCAAUUUUCUUUCUAGUGCAUUGACAUGCAGGGCAUGUCAAAAUUAUUGGUCUCGAUUACAACGUAAUUGAAGAGAAAUUAUACUAGUCUAGUUAGCUAAUUCUGUAAAUUAUGUGACAUAUAUUAUGGUGGGGCCUUAGCUAACAGAAAACUUGGCGAGAAAUCGAGCACAAUGACAUUAUAGAAUUCAUACAACUGACUUUACUUAAUAAGAUAAGACUUUAUUGUUGUUGUUGUUUGUACUAUGGUGGAUGCUUGAUUGCUAACAGCCUUGGAUUUGAAAUGUAAAUCCGUCCACUACAUAUGACACAUUCACAUUUAUUAGAGUUUAAGAAUGAGAGAUUUGUGUUAGUCAAACUUCAUGUACAGGAGAGAAGAUGUUGAUCUGUGAUGCUUUGCUUGCCAAAUAAAUAAAAGGAAAAUUAAUGAAAAUGACUUGAAAACUUUGAAUUUUAACAAAAAUGACAAAAAGAUGUUGUAAGUGAAUAGUACGAGGAGUGACUUUUUAGAGUAAAUUCGUUAAAGUAAACAGUACCAAAAGUAUUUCGUUAAAACUCCCGUAAAUAAAUUCCAAGACUUUUCAAAUUGGUUGACCUUUAUUUCAUUUUAUAACAGAUCGCUUUUACCAUAAUGUCCAUACUAAUCACACCUAGCAUUUUACUAUCUACUAGCACAUUACGGGGUGUUGAAUUUUAUGACAAAAAUGAAAGUUAAAAUCAUUUAUUAUAUAUUGUAAUUUAUUUAUCAAUUUUUCGACAUAUAUUUUUGCAUUCUUCAACAGCGUGAACAUCUCUCUCCCUGGCCACUACGGGUCGUACUUGGCCCCAUUCGGAGCCAAUUUGUCUUAUCAAUCUACUGAAUACAACUGGUGUGGUCAGAAUUGAUGAAGUGGAACUUUCUAGCUAGGAUCAGUUUGAGGGAAUUGUUAUGUCUCGUCCACAUGUUUGCCUGGAAGUUGCGUGUAAGUUCAUGUUGCAUCAACGACUGGAAAUCGAGGGUGCGUUCACCGUUGCAUCAACGACUGGAAGUCGCCCGUAUGCCCUUAGAGUUACUGAAACUCAAUCCAAGAAAACAAAAUCCAACCUUUCCGGCUUUUUGUUUCUGCAUGUCAAAAGAAGCAGCCAUUUUAGCACUUAAACUCCUCCAUGAGAAAGCUAACAAUGAAUUCUACUGAAUACUUUUUUGUCAGUACUGUAUUGCUCCUCUUCCUUGUGAUUCUUCCCUCUUCCAUUUCGGUUACCCUAGACGCCAUUACACCAAACCAACCCCUAAGAGAGGACGACGUUCUUCUCUCCACCACUAAAUUCUUUGCACUAGGGUUUUUUAAGCCAGGCAAUUCUCGUAACCGUUACAUCGGAGUUUGGUACAACAAAAUUCCAAUCCAAACCAUUGUUUGGAUUGCAAACAGAGAAAACCCCAUAGUUCCUACUGCUGGAACUGGACUUCUAGCCAUUCAUGCAGAUCACGGUGGCCUUGUUUUGUAUGGGGAGGACCAAAAUACCCCUAUCUGGUCCACUAAUCUCACCGUCUUCUCCAAACAAUUCCGUGAUAGCCAAGCUUUUGGAUACGGGAAAUCUUGUUGUAGUUGAAAUUAAUGGCGGUAGUAGUGAAAAGGUGUUGUGGCAAGGUUUUGAUUAUCCCACAAAUACGAUGCUUCCUGUUAUGAAACUUGGGCUGGACAGGCGAUCCGGGUUCAACUGGUUCCUCACAUCUUGGAAAUCCCAGGAUGACCCGGGAAUGGGCAACUGUUCGUACCGGAUAGAGCCAAGUGAGAGUCCACAGGGGUUCUUAUACAUGGGUCAGACUCCAUUGUGGCGGACUGGACCUUGGAUCGGUGAAAGAUGGUCCGGGGUGCCUCAAAUGCAAAAUAAGAUCUUCUUCAACGUUACUUUUAAGAACAAUCAAGAUGAGGUAUCCAUCAUGUAUAGUGUUGUUUAUGAAUCAAUCUUCGUAAAGAUGGUGAUCGAUGAAUCAGGAAACAUUGAACGGUCCGCAUGGCAAGAUAAUAAAUGGGUCCAGUAUUGGUCCGCGCCGGAUGGGCAGUGUGAUUUUUACGGGAAGUGUGGUCCGAAUAGCAUUUGUGACCCAUACCCAAAAUUUGCCGAUAAAUUUGAGUGCAAAUGCCUACCUGGAUUCGAACCCAAGUUGCGACAUGAGUGGUAUUUGAGAGAUUGGUCAGGCGGGUGCGUGAGGCAAAAAGGAUCAUCCGUUUGCCAAAACGGGGAAGGGUUCGUGAAGUUGGAACGUGUGAAGGUGCCGGACACUUCUACGGCACGUGUGAACAUGAGUAGGAGUCGGGAAGCAUGUAAAGAAGAAUGCCUGAGAAAUUGUUCUUGCACGGCAUACGCAAAUGCAGAUGAAAGGCAGGGAGGGAGUGGCUGUAUAACAUGGCAUGGGGACUUGAUGGACACAAGGACUUAUUUGGAUACGGGUCAAGAUUUAUAUGUGCGAGUUCAUGCAAAUGUUUCAGGUAUAUUUCCAUUAUCAAUUUAUCUUCUCUCCUCUCUUUUCCUUAUCAAUAAUUCCCCUCAUAACGCCAAGGUUCCAUAUAAAAAAGAAAAAAAAUCUUCUUUCUUUAUUUCAUUAAAAAAUUUGAGGAAUUAUUAUUUAGUUUGGUAAUUGUACGUUUGUUAUCAUUUAAAAAAAAAAAUCAUUUGGCACUGAUCUCUUGCCAAAUAAUAAAAGUGAAAUUGUUUCAUCAAGAGUGUAAGAUGACUUUUUUAGAGUACUAAUUUUUUUUAUAAAAAAAUUCAGAAAUUUCUAUAAAUUAAUACUAAAAAUUUAGUUCUUAUGGUCAUUGGAGCUUUUUACAAGGUUUUUUUUCCCAAAUUUUUUCAAGGUUUUUAAACAUGGAAAUAAAUGCUUGUAUAUUUGCAGCUCAAAAUGCAAAGAAGUCAAACAGUUCUUUUGGCAAGAAGAGGAAGCUGGAAGUUUCAGUAGCAUGUGGUCUAUUGUUCUUCCUCUUGUUUUCCCUUGCAUGUUGGUUGGUAAAGAGGAAGAGAAAAGGUAAACAAAUUUCCUUUUACUAGGUUGCCCUCUAAUCAUUCACAAUUAUGAAUUAUAUAAGAACACAACAUUAUCUGUUUAUGUACUUUUAUCACAGGUCAGAGAAGUCAGGAUAAAUUUUUCAAUGUGACCGUAGCAUCAACCGCCUGGGAAGAUUCUUCUGCUAGAACAAAUAUUGAUGAAAGUGGAAUAAACUCUGAAUUACCAUUCUUUGAACUAAGUACCAUAGUUAAGGCCACAAAUAAUUUCGCUUCCAACAACAAGCUUGGAACAGGUGGUUUUGGCUCCGUUUAUAAGGUACGUUGUUGCCCUCAGAUAAUGUCUCAAAUCAUAAAUCAAACUUUGAAUAGACAUUUCUUAGAUUUAUUUUUUAGCCAUCUGCACUCCAAAUCAAUUAUUUUUACCUCUACUCACCCUUGUAGUUUAAACAGAAGAACAUAAUGAAGAAAUCUUGCAGAGAAAGAAAGAGAAUCAAGAAGAGAGAGGGAGCAAGAUUUAGGGAGAGAGAGAGAGAUCUUAGACAGAAAAAGUGAAUCUUUGUUAAUGAUUUCAGAAAAAAUACAAGGUAGUGAUCCAUAAGGAUAUAUAUCCAAACUAUAUUGCUUACAAGCUAAGCUAACAUUUAGCUCACAGGCUAUUGACACUUGCAAACAAUAGGAUUACAAGACCAUUACAGUUUAACAAAAAUCAAGAGACCCGUCCAAUAAAGACUGGAAAGGCUGACUCAAAAAUAUAUUUCAUUAAAAUUCAAACCCAAUCAAUAAUCGAUAAGUGAUGGGAACUAUCUUGUUUCGACUUUUCACAAUUAUCCCACACAGUGAUGUGGAUUUUGAAACUGUAUAAAACACGUAGAAAGUUUUAAAUCUAUAUAUGAUAAGCCAUACUACUUAUAUAUAUAUGUGUGUGUGUGUGUGUGUGUGUGGAAAUCUAUUCACAAACCUAUUGUUAAGCCAUACUACUUAUAUACAAGUGAUGGUUGCAUGGUAUUAAUCUUCUACACAGAAAAAGCAAGUGUUUCCCACCCUAGGAAAUUGUUAAGCACCUAUCAAACUAAUUGAUUGGAAACAGUAUGGUGCUUCCCAAUCUAAAAAGUCAAUGACACUAAAGCAGCAGAUUAGCGAAUAGAUUAGUGAAUAGUUAAUUAUGAUUUGUUUUGGGUCCAAAGAAACCUUGUUAGGUGAUGGUGAAUCAAUAUGAAAGUAAACAAUGCCGAUUUCAAAAUGGAAACUGAAGAGCUAUUCGUUGAAUGAAGUAACAAUUAAAUCUGUUAAAUUACAGCAGGAGAAGUCUAAUAUAUACAGAAAGCCGCAUAAGUAAACAUAUACCAACCAAAAAGUGGGCUAAUCCAACCAAUCUCACCAAUGGACAUUGUCACCCGAGCAAUUGUCGGACUACAUCUUAGACGAAACAAAAAAAUGCUGAGGAAAAUGAUCAUUACCCAAAAUUCCAUUCUGAACAAAUAUUUGGACCAAUAACGAAGAAUUCUAGAAAAACAUGAAAAACUUAAUAAAACCCAAUUUAAACGAAGAACUCCAUCUGAAGCAGAUUUUCACAUGCAAUAGUUGUAGAAGAUGCCUAAGAUGAUAAGGAGUCAUUUGAGACCAUCAACUCAACCCCAUUCGAACGCAAUCACAAAAUCAAAAAGGACAAAAUGGGCAAACAAAAACAAUGAGAAAGCACCUACCUUGAGCUUGAAAGAGAGAGGAAGAAGAACGACGGUGCCCUUCUUCAGCAGAAUUUUGCCGAUAUUGUUUCCGGCCGUUGCCGCCAGCGCUAGGAAGAUCGACUCUCACAUCCCAAGAACCCUAAUUAUAAACUCCCAAUCAAACGCAAAAAGGAUAGAGGAAGCCCAAAUAAAGGGAAAUUCGAGAAAUUCAACAUACCGUAAGACGCUUUCUGACAUCAAGAGAUACGGGAAUCGGAGAGAAAAGAAGAGCAGAGGAAGAUGAAACAUUGUGGGUUUUCCAGUAGAGAAGGAGCGAGAGGAGGGAUGAGAGAUGACAGGAGAGCGCACGCGUAGGAGAGAAAGAGGAAUAGAGGUGAGAGGAGAGCGCGUCUAAACCGAUUCCCAACCGUACCAAACCCUCUGGAGAAAAUUGUGGGCAUUUUGGUCAACAAACAAAUAGUGGCAGAGUUGUAAAUACAACAAAAUAGUGCAAUUGAAAACCUUACUUUAGAUUAAAGUAAUAAUUCAAAAUACUGCAAUCUUUUGUUAUUUCAAUCGCAUUUCUCCUUCACUUGAAGUAGUCAAAGCAUUUUUAUGCAUAUGCAUUGAGUUUUACUCCUUUGUUAAUGUAUAAAUGCAAUUUCAAGGGGAGGAUAUAUAUAUAUAGAGCUACGAUUAUGUUGAUAAUUUUCCUGAAAGGUAAGUGCACUAUAAGUUGAAUUUGGAUUAUAAAUUCAGGGUGUGCUUGAUAAUGGAAAGGACAUAGCAGUGAAAAGACUAGCCAAGAAUUCUGGCCAAGGAAUUGGAGAGUUUAAGAAUGAAGUUGUGCUGCUUUCAAAGCUCCAACACAGGAACCUUGUAAGGAUCAUGGGUUGCUGCGUUCAAGAUGAAGAGAAGAUGCUGAUCUAUGAAUACUUGCCAAACAAAAGUCUUGACUUUUUCAUUUUCGGUAUGUCUUUCGUUCACUUUUGUUAUUCUUUUUAUACAAGCAAUAUUGUGGAGGGGAAAUCAAGCUCAGGACCUCAGGUGUAGGAUUGAAUGCUCUUAACUCAACUUAGUUACAACUGCCUUUCUUUUAACUUGUGUAUCUAAAAUUGUCGGUUAGAAACCUUGAACCAAGCAAGAAUACAAUCUAAUUUACUUUGAUUAUUUUUUUUCCCAUACAAAGCAAAAGAGGCGUUCUUGGAUUGGACAAGAUGCUUUGAGAUAAUCUGUGGGAUUGCUAGAGGGAUCUUAUAUCUUCAUCAGGAUUCGAGAUUAAGAAUCAUCCAUAAAGAUCUAAAGGCCAGCAAUGUUCUGUUGGAUUCUGCUAUGAACCCCAAGAUUUCAGAUUUUGGUAUGGCUAGGAUAUUUGGAGCUGAACAAAUUGAAGCAAAUACAAACCGUGUGGUUGGGACAUAGUAAGUUUCAUUCAAAACUGAAAGUACACUUGUUUUUUAAAAGUUUCAUCCCUACAAGUACAAUUAACUUUUGUUGAAUAAUACAGAAAGAAGCUGUGAUAAUUAAGCAAUUUUAUUUUGUUGUUUCAGUGGUUAUAUGUCACCAGAGUACGCAAUGGAAGGAUUUUUUUCAGUAAAGUCUGACGUAUAUAGCUUCGGCAUUUUACUACUAGAAAUUGUUACUGGCAGAAAGAACACCGGCUACUACCAAGAUAGUCCUUACUCAAAUAUAAUUGGACAUGUAAGCAUAACAUUAAGACAUUACCAAACUUCUCUCCAUCUGCUUUUAUAACUUGAUGAUUAAUUUGUAAAUUUUUAGGUUUGGGACUUGUGGAAGGAAAAUAAAGCCUUGGAAAUCAUUGAUUCAUCUCUAGGAGAAUCAUACCCUGUCAAUGAAGUUCUAAGAUGUAUUCACAUUGCCCUCUUGUGCGUGCAAGAGCAAGCGAAGGAUCGUCCACUCAUGUCAGCAGUGGUUUCCAUGUUGGGUAAUGAUGCAGCAAUUCCUUCACCAAAGCAACCUGGAUUUUUGUUGAAGAGAGGUUAUCAUACUAGUGGAGACCCAUCAACCAAUACUGAUGGAGCUUGCUCUGUAAAUGACAUGACCUAUACAGAAGCAGAAGGUCGCUAAGGGGAGAACCAGACUUAUAAUCAGACAGACUAUAUUAUUCAAUUGAGAAUCACAUGAUGAGUGAGAUAAGAAGAGAGGAUAUACCCCGAUUUCACUCAAUAAUUUGCCUUAUAAC